GAGGAUUGCAAGUGCGGCGAAUGCCAUCGCAUGAGAGCCAAAGCCAUUAUAGGGUCAUGCCAUGUUUUAGAUUUUCUUCUAGUUUUCUUUUGGUUGGGUUUGCCUCUGCUUUGUUAGACACUGAUGCAAGCUCAUUUUUGAGUUCUCUUAAUCUUACUGUAUCGCUCAAGUUUAAAUUGGUGUUGCCUUUUGCUCCUUUCUGUUUCAUGAACUCUUGCAGUUUUUUCUAUAGAUACGAAGGUUGCAUGUCUUAUAACGUUAAUAUUUGAAGAAGCAUUAGAAAGUUUUCGUCGUUCUUGCCUGCUCUUGUUGGGAAAGUUCCAUUCUAAAAUCAACCCAUGAAGAUUGAUGAGAAUAUUAUUAUUAUUUUUUUGAAAUAAUAGUUUAUUGGUGGAAUGUUUUUGAGGUUGAGGGUAGGUUAGGUGACAUUUUCAGAAGAGGUUUUCGUCAUUGAUUGGUUGUGAUGUAGUUAUUUGAAAGUAGUAGGCUACACAAGCAUUGAAAUUGUUUCUAUGAGUUCUAUGAACUAUUUGACUCAUAGUGUGUUUGAACUUGUGAAAAAUUAUAGCGAAAUACGAGAGAUCAAUUGAGCUAUAAUUCUCAAAAUCAAUUUACCCAUCACUUGCAUAAGUUACUUAUAUAUUACAAUUAUAUAUCUCUAAGUUGAAAUUUUAUCUUUAAGUAAUUUCUUAAUAAAUAGGUGAUGAAUUAAUCAAGUUUCAAAUUUUUGUUAACACUUUCCAACAAAUCCAUACCAGCAUCCAUUCAAAUGUAUAUUUUCAAGGUACAAUAAAAGAACUAUACAUAUAUUUAUAAAAUUAUACUUUUUAAUAUAAUUUGAAAUUUUGUUACAUCUGAAUAAUUGUUUUACAAGAUAUUUUAAACUUUAUUUUAACUAAAUCUAAAUCUAUUUGGAAGAAUAGAUGAGCGGGGAGAUUCGUGUAACACGUAAAUUGAAAGUUGCAUAGAUGUUUCAUAUUAGAUCUUAUCAUUUCAAUAGAAGUAUUGUAGAGAUAUAUACACACAUGUAUAUAAAAUAAUACAUAAUAUAUAUAUAAAGAGGCAACUUUGAAUUGAAGGCAAGGCAAAGCAGAUUUGAACCAAAUGGAACCAACCAUCCCUCUCUCACCUAUCACAACCUGACUUGACUUCUUUUUAACUCAAAAACCAACCCAUGACUUCCCAACUCACAGUUUGGUGUAGUACCUCUUUCACCUCUAUUUCAUAUCCUUUCUCACAACUCAACCUUUUAAUACAACUCUUCUCCCUUUCUUCCUUUUGCUCUCUAUCCCAUCUUUCAUCUCACACUCAAAAACCUCUCCUUUCUUGGUAUCGGGAUCGGCACUUACAUCGGUUUUGGUCUUGGCCUGUCUCCAAAGACAUGGCCGGGUUGGUCACUGGUUCCCAACACUAUCCGCACGUUGUUGAUGAGGUCAUAUAUCAUCCCUUCCUUGUUUUCACUCUCUUUGAUUGUUAUAAUUUUGUCAUUUAGUUUCUCAACUUUAAACAUGUUUCUAAACUUUAGUAUUGUGUAUAUGUAGAGUCACCGUGGACCUCCACUCUCGUCGAAAAUCUGUCGAGUUUGUGGUGAUGAAAUAGGACUGAAAGAAGAUGGAAAAGUAUUUUUGGCAUGUCUUGCGUGUAAUUUUCCUGUUUGUCGUCCUUGUUAUGAAUAUGAAAGGAGCGAAGGAAACAAGUGUUGUCCACAAUGUAACACUCGCUACAAGCGUCACAAAGGUACGUUAUACUUCGUUCUUAUUUUACUCUAAAUUUCAUUACAAGCUAACUCAUUAUUUAUGGUAAAAUUAAGGUUAAUAUACUAUUAGUCCAUGCAUCUUAAUAAGUAAUAUAUCUGAUUUUAUAGGUUCACCCAGAGUGAUCGGCGACGAUGAAGAAGCUGACGAUGCUGAUGAUUUUGAAGAUGAAUUCCCCAUUAAACACAACAAAAACGACGAAUUUCAAGCAAAACAGCCUAAUCAUUCGGUAACGUAGAAAUGAUUUUGAGAGUAAGUUAAAACAGAGGAAUUCAAUUCAUGGGUUUUUAUGUUGUCCAGGAAAACGAUGGGUACAAUGAUCAGAAUUGGCAUAAGAAUGUGCAGAGCUCGUUCUCAGUUGCAGGAAGUGGUAUAGUUCUAAUCCAUGGUGGUUGUGUGUUUUGUUUUUGGUUUAAUAAUUUGGAAAUUUGGAUGGUGUUGAACUGAUGAUUUGGUUCAUGGAAAUUGUGCAGUGAAUGGAAAGGACAUGGAAGGGGAGAAGGAAGGUGGCUAUGGAAGUGUAGAAUGGAAAGAGAGAAUUGAUAAAUGGAAAGUAAGACAAGAGAAGAGAGGUUUAGGGAAUAAAGAGGAUGGAAGUAACAAUGAUCAAGAAGAAGAUGACUACUUGUAAGCAAAUUCAAUCCUCUUUUCAUUCUUCAUUAUUUUUAUUUCCUUACCUAUUUAGUGUUUAAUAUAACGUUCAAUCUCAAAAGAGCGUUUGAAAUUUGAUAUUAUAAUUUAAGGUUAUAAUAAUCUGUGUUCCUUACCUUUAUUAUUUUAGUUUGAGUUCUACUGUUUUGUAUUUAGAAAUUGUAUGGAUGACUCGUAUUUAGGGUUGAUUUAUUUUAGUCUAAGUUAUUGAUAACCUGUAUUUAGGUGAAAAUCAUUUUAACCUAUAUCGAUAAAUAGUAAAUCAGAUAACAAAGAAAAGUAAAGAAAGUGCUAAGAAACACAUUUGAAAUGACAAUUUUAUAACAAAGCAUCAAAUAUUAUAAUUAGAGCUUCAAACAUAAAAUGAGAUACCUCAAUUCAAUUUUGCAUCGAAUAGGUUUUUCUUUAAUAAAUUUGUAAUAUUGUAUAACGUGUAAAUAUCACGUUUGACAUUUUUUUAAAUCGACCAUUCUAUUAGACAAAUUGAGUUUACAUGCUUUUAUCAUAAAUAUUUUUAAACAACAAUUCUUGGGUAAGUGACUCUAAACUCAUUUUAGAUUCCAAUUUUCACCUAAGAUUUUUUUAAAAAAUUGUUCUUAUGAUAAUGAUUAUAAAAAGUUAUGUAGAAUAUUAUAAAGUUCUUAAAAGAAUAAUUUUGUUAACUUUGUUUGCAAUUUAGCCAUUAAUUUUAUAUGUAAUUAUGAAAGAAUGUGAGUCGUGGCAGAUUGGCGGAGGCCCGGCAGCCAUUAUGGCGGAAACUACCAAUAUCGUCAAGCAAAAUCAGUCCAUAUCGGAUCGUCAUUGUUCUCCGUCUCGUAAUUCUUGCAUUCUUCUUCCGAUUUCGGAUCCUUACUCCGGCCUACGACGCAUUCCCCUUAUGGCUGAUCUCCGUCAUAUGCGAAAUCUGGUUCGGCUUCUCCUGGAUUCUCGAUCAGUUCCCCAAAUGGGCACCAAUCAACCGAGAAACUUACCUCGACCGUCUCUCCAUGCGGUUCGAGCGCGAAGGCGAGCCCAAUCUUCUCUCACCGGUCGAUUUCUUCGUCAGUACAGUGGAUCCUCUGAAAGAACCGCCGAUCAUUACCGCCAACACCGUCCUCUCGAUUCUCGCGGUUGAUUAUCCGGUGGAGAAGGUCAGCUGCUACGUUUCGGAUGAUGGAGCGUCGAUGUUGCUGUUUGAUACACUGGCGGAGACGGCGGAGUUUGCUCGGAGGUGGGUGCCGUUUUGUAAGAAGUUUAGUAUUGAACCUAGAGCUCCGGAGUUUUACUUCUCGCAGAAGAUGGAUUACUUGAAGGAUAAGGUGUUGCCGAGCUUUGUGAAGGAGAGGAGGGCAAUGAAGGUAAGAUUUGAUUUUAUUAAUGGUUUGAUUGAUUUUGAUUGUGAAUUGAGGCUGAAUUGGUGGUUAUUUUGGAGCAGAGGGAAUAUGAAGAGUUCAAGGUGAGGAUCAAUGCGUUGGUGGCGAAGGCUCAGAAGAAACCAGAAGAGGGAUGGGUUAUGCAAGAUGGGACUCCAUGGCCUGGAAACCUCACCCGUGAUCAUCCUGGCAUGAUACAGGUCCGCCAUUUUUAUGCUGCCAUAAAUCCUCUAACCUUCAAUUCUUCUUCUUCCCCAUAUACUGCAUAUCAUUAACAUUGUCCAUUUUUAUGCUUUGCAGGUGUAUCUGGGGAGUGAAGGUGCACUUGAUGUCGAAGGCAAAGAGUUGCCUCGUCUUGUAUAUGUUUCUCGUGAGAAACGCCCUGGAUAUCAACACCACAAGAAAGCCGGUGCUAUGAAUGCACUUGUAAGUGGCUCUUCUCCUGCUUCAAAUGAUUUUAACAAGACUAUGAGAAUGAACCUUAUUGUAUUGGGUGCCACAGGUUCGAGUCUCUGCAGUCCUCACAAAUGCACCAUUCAUCUUGAAUUUGGAUUGUGAUCACUACGUCAACAAUAGCAAAGCUGUAAGGGAAGCCAUGUGCUUUCUAAUGGACCCUCAGCUUGGAAAGAAACUAUGCUACGUUCAGUUUCCUCAAAGAUUUGAUGGUAUUGAUCGCCACGAUAGAUAUGCUAACCGAAAUAUAGUGUUCUUUGAUGUAAGUCGGAAGCUCAUUUGACGUAUUAAUCAUGUCUUUGUUUAAACUCCAUUGUUAUUGAGUGGAUACUAACUGCAAUUGCAGAUCAACAUGCGAGGACUAGAUGGAAUCCAAGGCCCAGUUUAUGUUGGCACAGGAUGUGUCUUCAACAGACAGGCUUUAUAUGGAUAUGAACCACCAGUCUCAGAGAAAAGGCCAAAGAUGACAUGUGAUUGCUGGCCUUCUUGGUGCUGCUGCUGCUGCUGCGGUGGAUCAAGGAAAUCGAAGUCCAAGAGGAAAGGAGAAAGAGGUUUGCUUGGAGGCUUGUUCAAGAAGAAGAAAAUGAUGGGGAAGAGUUAUGUAAGGAAAGCUCCGGGACCAGUUUUUGAUCUUGAAGAGAUUGAAGAAGGGUUUGAAGGUUACGAUGAGUUGGAGAAGUCAUCACUCAUGUCCCAGAAGAAUUUUGAGAAAAGAUUCGGGCAGUCACCAGUUUUCAUCGCUUCCACCCUUAAGGAAGAUGGAGGUCUGCCAGAAGGGACUAAUAGCACAUCACUCGUUAAAGAAGCCAUCCAUGUGAUAAGCUGUGGUUAUGAAGAUAAAACAGAAUGGGGAAAAGAGGUUCGUGGCCGUGGCCGAGGCCAUUGGCACAAUGCUUUUAUAUUCUUUAAUUUUAAAACCUCCACGUGAAUUUAAGUAACACUUCCUGGUGAACAAAUAUGUUUCUUUUGCAGAUAGGUUGGAUUUACGGGUCUGUCACUGAGGAUAUUUUGACUGGAUUCAAGAUGCAUUGUAGAGGAUGGAAGUCGGUGUACUGCAUGCCCCAUAGACCAGCGUUCAAGGGAUCGGCUCCGAUAAAUCUUUCGGAUCGUUUGCACCAAGUUCUGAGAUGGGCUUUAGGUUCUGUUGAAAUCUUCCUCAGCCGACACUGCCCGCUGUGGUAUGCUUAUGGAGGAAAGCUAAAAUGGCUUGAGAGGCUUGCUUACAUCAACACUAUUGUUUACCCUUUUACUUCUAUUCCAUUACUUGCUUACUGCACAAUCCCUGCUGUCUGUCUUCUCACUGGAAAAUUCAUUAUCCCCACAGUAAGUGAUUCAUCACUGUUCUUUGUUGCAUCUCUUCUCAAUCAACUUAAAACAACCAAGUGUUCAUCUACAAGCACUAAAAUAUGAGCAUAUUUUCUGCAGUUGACGAACUUGGCUAGUGUCUGGUUCAUGGCCUUGUUUAUUUCCAUCAUUGCAACGGCGGUGCUGGAGCUUCGAUGGAGUGAAGUGAGCAUUGAAGACUUAUGGCGUAAUGAGCAAUUCUGGGUGAUUGGUGGUGUCUCUGCACAUCUUUUUGCAGUGUUCCAAGGCCUUCUCAAGGUCCUUGGUGGAGUAGACACCAACUUCACAGUUACAGCAAAAGCCGCUGAAGACACCGAGUUCGGAGAGCUCUAUCUUUUCAAGUGGACGACUCUUCUUAUCCCACCAACCACUCUCAUAAUCUUGAAUAUGGUUGGAGUGGUUGCUGGAAUUUCAGAUGCAAUCAACAAUGGCUACGGUUCAUGGGGUCCUCUAUUUGGAAAGCUGUUUUUCGCUUUCUGGGUCAUUGUUCAUCUCUAUCCUUUCCUCAAGGGUCUGAUGGGAAAACAAAACAGGACUCCCACCAUUGUUGUCCUUUGGUCCGUGCUUCUUGCUUCCAUAUUUUCACUGGUUUGGGUGCGUAUUGAUCCCUUCUUGCCCAAGCAAACUGGUCCUGUCCUCAAACAAUGUGGAGUUGAUUGCUAGAUUUGCUCUAUGAUGCUCCCCUUUCACUUAUUUUUGUUGGGUUGCCUCAGUUGUGUUCGAAUGUUUGAAGUUUUGAGAUCUGUAGCCUUUUGUUGUUUGAAUGAAUAUACAAAAACAUAAUGAACUUCAUUUCGAUACAUAAUCUCACAAUAUUAGUUUCAUAUGUAAAAACACACCAAAAUGGUAUUUCAUGAGAAUACAAUGGGCAACUGAUUCACAAACAAAUCAAUAUAAUCAGACUAUUAGAAGGAAGUCAAACCGUUAAACUAAUUUACAAACAAAUAAACAAACUUUACAUAACUAAAUAGAAGAAAAUAAAAGAGUUGACAACAAAUAAACAGUUCUCCAAAAGCUUCAAGCUGCAACUCCUCUACUAUUCAAAGCUCUCUCCAACCUUGUUUCAAAUGGUGUGGAGUGCCACUUCACUGUCUUAUCCUGCACUCACAAACAAAAGGACAAUUGCUAAGAAAUUCUUCGUCUAAAAACAUUUUUUCCACUUAAAAAGCCAUUUCAAACUGAUCCCUUAAAUAACUGCUUCAAACCCAUACCUCUCGAUACUUGCUAGUUGUAUUUGGUAUUCCUUUAAAUGAAGAAGCUGAAUCGCAAUCCUUAUGACUCACUCCUUGUCUGUGAUACAUCCCGGCCGUUCCAACUUCAGACAUCUUGCUGUGGCCGCUUCCUUUCAGAGAGCUCGAUCCUUGCAAUGUCCCACUUUUCAGUGGAGUCAUAGUGGCUUCUAAAGCCAUUGUUGGAGUAAUCUUGACUGGUGUUGCUUGUGAUGAAGGCAACCAGUUAGAAAGGCUGGCAUCAACACACGGUUCUCCACUCGGCUCGGAACUGUAUGGAAAUCCAUCAACACUUGAUUCUUGUUCUAAUUUGGCAUUCUCUUUCUGAAGUUUUGGUGGAAAUUCCUUCUUGGAUUUCACAGCAUUCCAUUGAGAAAGAUUUUCAACUGGAUUCAGUACGGAGGAAACAUAAGCAGUCCUAUGCCUCACAUUUGUUGGGUUUAACCUACAAACAUCCAUUGAACUUUCAUCCACAGAAGAAUCUUCCUUCAUUGAUUCAACUAUUCCAAGUUCAUCAUUUUCAUCACUGUCAAGAUGAGUAUCAAAAACCUCAUCCUCAUCUUCAUCAUCACUAUCCUUACAGUUCCCGUAUCGAUGAAUUCGAGGGCAAGAUGAUUUGAAGUUGGCAUUGAGAGGAACAACAAAAUCUUCAGAAGAAGAUUCGGAUUUGCUUAGUUUUUCCUCACUGUCUUCUUCCUCCUUCUGGCCUUGUUUCUUCCCAUGAACUGAAACAGCAUCUUGUUGUGGUAAAACAAUAUGCUCAUCCUCGUGAGAUUUCACAGAAGCCACUUCUAACCCAUCAAUCCUAUUCCUAUGAUCAUAAGCCUCGUUGUUCUUAUUUCUAACCAAAACCAAAAUUAUACAAGAAAAAAAAAGUUAAAUUACACCAAAUAUCACAGUGGUAGAUUUCAACUAUGAUCUUUAAAAGGUUCUACUUUUCCAGUCGAAGUUUGAAUUUGUUCCAAAAAAAGUAUAUUAUUGGUUAAACCUAUGAACAAAUCUAAACUCAAAACUAAAUACAAUUUCUUAAUACCUAGAAACAAAAUGAAGAUCAAAUUAAAAAACUCAUAGAUAAAAGUGUAACUUCUUGAAACAUAUAAACAAACCAAUCUUCCCACAUGUAUAACAAAAUAAUAAAAUUAUAAUUCGAGAAUUGAAGUACUCACCCAGCUUCAACCGGAUGGAAGAGUGUAUUGUUAGAGUCGUCAAGCAAAGUAUGAACAGAAGAUUGGUGGGUCUUAGCGAUCGCAUUCCUCUGCACCAAACCCACAUCAAAAUUAGCCAAAUUAUUCAAUAACAGUUCGCCCCCACAAAUUCUUUUUUGCUCAUUAGAUAAAAAAGAAAGAAAAGAAAGAAAGAAAAUUAAUUAAGGACCUGAAUAACGGUGGAAGGGUGAUGAUUCUUGAGGCGUUUGGAGUUUUUAGAAGAACCAAAGCAAGCAAAAAAGCAACCCAUCGCUUUGUAAUUACUUUAGAAGAAGAAGAAGAUUGGGUUAAAAAUGGUGGUCUUUCAUGGAAGUUCGGUUCGGAAAGGGAAGAAGAAAGGAUGUGGAAAUUUGAAAUUUGGAGCGGAGAGCUUGUGGGUUUCUUUUAGCAUUGAGUUUAUUUUAUUGUAAUUUGAAGUUAAAUUUGUAUUUAUUGUAAAGAGUAAAGUAAGUGACCGUUGGAAUUGGAAUUUGAAAUUGUAACCAACAAAUAGACUUUUGCAAAUUCCACAAUAAAUAUGAUUAAAUUAAAUAAAAAAGAGCAAAAAAAAAUUAUUCCCUUCCACUAAUUGCUUUAUAAUUUACGACGUCAUCUUAGUUUAAUGAUAACGGAUUAUACGUACUUUCAUUUCUAAUUUGAAUAUAGUAAGUAAAAUUCGGUUAUGUGUUCUAAAUUUGCGGUUUGGAUAAGAGGAGUUUUGAAAUAAGACUUCGUGAUAAAGACGUUGGUGUUUGAAUCAAUCCAUAAGAUCUUAUAUGAUUAAGUAUAAGUUCUUUCGCGAGAAAAGUUGGUUAGUUCGCAAAAGAAGUUACUAUAUUAGGAUCUUUGAAAUUUAUAUUAAGUGGUUAAAGAUAUUCGCGAGAAAAACUGCAUGACUAAUAUAAUAUUAAUUUUACACGUGUAAAGCUUUAAGUUUGGCUCACAAUAUCUUUCGUCCAAUCUCUCAUCUUCAUAUCUUGUAUGUAUUUAUUUACCAUUGUUUAUGGCUUCCUUUGAAUGAAUAUAAUAUAACAGUUCUUUAACCUAACAUUUCACCUCUCUUUUUUUGGUGGAUUUUUUUUGUUAUAUUUAAAUCUUUUAAGAAAGCAUGUCCAAAAAAAAAUUAAAAGUCAUUUUUAAAAAUAAUAAAAUAAACUAAAAUAUUUACAAGUUAUAGCAAAUUUUUGUAUUCUAUCAUUAAAAGUCUUCUAUCAUUAUAACAUAUCAACGACUAUUGAUAGAAUUUGUUAUAACUUGGAAAUAUUUUGUAAAAUCUAUUAUUUUUUUUAAAUAUUAAAUAUUAGACCUCGUAAAUUGAUUUACUCAAACUAAAUGAAAUUAACAACUUUCCUAUAAUAGCUAUAUUCUACACGUUUUUUUUUGUCCUUUCAUUCAUUUAUACUUUUUAAUAUUGGUUUUAAAUAUGAGUAAGAAUUGAGUAUGAGUUUAAACUAAGGUGAACGAACAUCAACCACACAACAAAAAUUAAAAAUUUUAAAUGAGUUAUAGAUAAUUUGAUAAAUUUUGUAAUUAUUUUUUAAAAUGCAUCUUUUUUAAUUAAAAAAUAAUAUUUUUUUCUGUAAAGAAAACACAUGUUCAAUUUUUGAAAAACAAAUUUAAUGUUUAUAUAUAUAUAUAAGUUAUUAAGUAAUUUAUUAUAUAGGCGUUGAAAUUUACCUUUUGAGUUUUUAAUUACAAAUACUUUUCAAACCACAUAAUAAAAAAUGGUCAAACCUAUCGAAAUUAAUUUAAUGAAAUUGAAUGCUUAGGGUAAAUUUUAAUAUAAAAUUAUAAUUGUGUGAAUAAAUUUUGAUUAUUUUUCAACAAAAUAAAAAUGAAUAAAUACUAGGAGAUUAAUAUAAGGAUGUAAAGAGGAAAAAGAUAAAUGGGGUGAGAGAGGCUCGAACUCUCGACCUCAGGAUUACUCGGAAGCUAUGAGACCUACGCGCUAGCCAACUGCGCCACCACCCCGCCGUUGAUGAACACAUAAUGAUUAUAAAACCAAGUCUUAAAGAUUUUUAGAGUUAAUGGUUACUUUUGUUAUUUCAGCAUUAAGAAAAUGAAACAUAAAUCGAAUUACAUAUUAAAAUAAAGAAGAUCCAUUGUUUUAAAAACAAAAAAACCCUUUAGAAUUAUAAAUGUUCAUAGCACCACUGUCGUCACCGAUACUCUUAGAUUUGUUGUGUUAGAGGCAAACUUAAGCACCCUAAAGGAAAAACUUGACAUUCAUUUGUAUUUAGUUGAAUAUGUCACUCGUUGAACUAACUUUUGAUAUUACAGUGCAUUAAGCUCUAGUAUUCACAUCAAUGCAAAGAGUUUCUUUCGUAGGUUAACUAAUAGUGUAUAUUGAGAUCGAAUAAAGGGAGAGCAAGUCGAAGAUGAAGAUCACCAAGCACCCACACCAAAGUCUAAUACAUACGAGAAUCAAGUACCAAAACAACAUAAAUAUUGGUGGAUAAAACGUCUACUUUAAGUUUUGGAAGAAUGAGAAAAACUUUUCUUAUAGCACGAGAAAAACGCGUUAUGCAAUUUAUGUCACUCGUUGUACUAGCUUAGACAUUACAGUGCAUUAAGCAUUAGUAUUCACAUCGAUGCAAUAAUUUCUUUCAUUAGCUAGCUUAGAUAAUAUAUUGAGAUCAAAUAAAGGGGAAGCGAAUCGAAGAUCAACACCACCAAACACCUACAACAAAGUCUAAUACAUACGAGAAUCGAAUGUCAAAACAAUAUAAAUAUUUUUUCUUAUAACAUGAGAAAAACUCGUUACGCAAUUUAUUGGAGUUUAGAAAUUGAAACGAACAGUGAUUGAAAGGAAAAAAAAAAAGAAAUGGGGUGAGAGAGGCUCGAACUCUCGACCUCAGGAUAACUCUUUAGCUAUGAGACCUACGCGCUAGCCAACUGCGCCACCACCCCUUGCCUGAUUCCCCAUGAAGAUUAAUUAAGAACCCUAACCUAAAUUAAUGUUUUAAUUAUCACAAUUUGACUUUGAUUAAUUUAUUCAAUUAAUAUGCUACACUUUUUUUUUUUUUGUCUCUUUUUAAUUUAAUUGAUAAUUUAAUGUCUCUCCUAUUCUAAGAAAUAAAAUAUUUUCUAAAAAAUUUAGAUUUUAAAAUUUUGUUUUUAAUCUAAAUAUAUGCCCAACGAAUCUGAAGAUGAGAAAAUUAAAUAAAUUAAAUAAACUUUUCUAUAUUAAAUUUUCUUAAUUUUUUUGAAAAUUUGAAUUUUCACUCAAAAACAAUUGUCUAAAUUUCAUUUUAUAUAGGAAACCAAGUUAGAGUAAUAAUCAAUGGUUAUUAAUAUUGUACCUAUAAAAGAUGCAUAUUUAUUUUUUAAUGGCACAUUUUAAACAUAAUUUAGGGUAAUGUUCAUUUUCCUAAAGUCCAUCAUGGGACUUAUAACUUUUAAUAAUAAAUAUAAAUGUUGAUAGAAUCUAAAAUUUUUGUUAUUUUUUAAAUAUUUUAAAGAAUUAAUAGAAAAAAACAAAUUAUUUACACUUAUUUUUUAUAUUAAGAGUAUAUAUUCUGUCAAUUUUUGACAAGUUUUCAUUCAUUAUGCUAUUAUUUGAAAAUCAUACAACUAUUAAUUAUCCUUUACAAAUUAAAACAAAGAUUUGUUUAUUUCUUUUCAUUAUUAUUUAUUGAUUUGGGAUAAAAAAAUAUAUUAUAAGGUCAAAAAUACAUAAUAAUUGAUGCAUGUAUCAUGUUUGAACGAUUUUAAUUUGGUAUGUUCUUCAUUAUUAUUAUUAUUAUAUUAUACCCUUACAAUAUAUUUUAUACUACAAAACAUUUUUCUUUUUAUUUAAAAAUAGAAUUAAUUCUACUUUUGUUAUUUUAAAAGUUAGAUUGUGGUACUCAAAAGUUUCUAUAUUUUGUUUUAUGAUAUUCUAUUAUAUAAAAAUGAGAACAGUAGAUCAAUUAUUUAUUAAAUAAAUAAAUUAAUCAAUAGAAUAUUGGAAACGAAAUGUCAUAAUCGAAUAAUGGACCUACGCAUUAGUAAGUUACAAAGGCAAUAAUAAUAAGUCAAAUUUGUCAUUUUCUUUUGCUCUUCUUGGCUAAUAUUGCAUAAUAUAUAUAUAAUUUUAUAAAUAAUAUAUGUAUAUGAUAUGAAUAUACACACACAUAUACAUAUCUUAAUCUGAUUUUGUAACCAUUGACUUAUUGAUAUUUCUUUUAAAAAUAAAAGACUUUUGGAAUCCUUGCCCAAUUUGAAAAUAAAUUUGUGAAAGUUAUUUGUUUAAAUUUAGUCAAUAUUUUAGAAAAGUAUAAUAGAAAAUAAAGUGUAUGAAAAGAACAUUGAAUUAGCAUUAUUGUUUGAUUAUAAAUAAAAUAUCUUUAAAGAAUUUUAGUUUUUGGACAAUUGUCCGUAUAAACAAGAUUAUUAGGUCGUAUAAUUGAUUUAGUUGCCAUUUACGUCAAAUUAAACCUACUGUAAUAAUUGCUGGAGUGAUGAUUUGAAUCCGGAACCUCUUGUCAAUAGAAACAUAACUCACAAGCUAAACUCAUGUUAACAAUAUUUCAUAUUUCGACAAUCUAUAAUCCGUUAAAAUUUGCUAAUCAACAAUAUUUAUUUGGAACAUUUUAUAAAUUAGCAAAAUAAAUCAAAUAUUAUUUAGUAUCUAUCGUUUAUAGAAUCUGAAAAUUUUGAUAUAUGUUAUAAAUAUUUUAUCAAAUUAAAAUUUACUAUUUUCUACCGUCCCUUUACCAGGAAGAAGAAAAUGAAAGUAGUUGUGGGAAAAUUUUAAAUUAUAAACAAAGUUGACUUUAUAUUUAUCAAUAUCAAUAAUAAUUAUAUUUUUUAGUUACCAAUAGUUGAUGGCAAAAAGUUACUUAGGAGAUCGAUUUACAUUGAACGUAGGUAUUGUCGCAUUGGAUACUAACUUUGUAUCAAAUAAGGGAGUAGGCUUCUUCUUCAAACUUCCAACCACAUAAUUGUCCCAUUUCAUUUUCAUAUCCCAAAAACUUAGCUUUAACCAAAUUUGUAAUAUGUAACUAAAAGUUUAUCUAUUAUUGCUCAAUUCAAUUUAUAUAAACUAUAUGAUUUCUUUUAUACGAAUUCAUGUGGUUAAAAAAUAAAAUCUACCUAUAUAAAUUUAAAAUAUUAACAUUGGAAAGUGUAUUUUAAGUGGAAUGAUUAAAAGAAACUAUAAUUUGAUCCAAGAGGGAGAAAAAAUACUUCAUGAAAAAUGGGGUUGUAAUUCUUUAUUUAUAUGUAUAGAAAAAGCAAAAAGUUAGAUCUCAAAUCAUAAUUUUAUUUUAUUUAAAAAAGUACAUAAUCAAAUUUAAUUCAACAAAAUCUAAUAUUUAAUGUGUAUACAUUUCUUCUAAUGAUAUCAAUAUCUAUUUUACACCCAAACAAAUGUUUAAAUCGAUUGUCACACACCUAAAAAAUAUAUCUAUAAUUUAAUGUUUUUUAAUGUCAAAUUAUAUUAUCGUAUAACCCGACAACAAAUUACUUCAAGAAGCAAAAUGAAAAAUAAACGUUCUUUUAGAUUAGAUAUUAUGAAUAUAAUUUGGAGGUUCGGUCUUUUUACCUCACAUAUUCUAAAAAAUAUAUUUUCUUUAUUCACUAGAUUAUUCUCAAAUUAAAAUAAAACUAAACUUUUUAAUUUUUAUCAAAUUUUAGAGUAAAGAUUACAAUUUUUCUUAGAUAGUAUUAUUAGAAAAGCAAAUUACGAAGAUUUUUACUCUUUUAUUAAGUUUGUAAUAUAUUAUAAUAUCAAAUUUUUCUUACAAUUAAAAUCACAAAUAAUUAACACCGAGAGGUUUUAAUUAUUUUUCUUCCCAUUGGUUGAGUAUAAAGACUGAAACGUUAAUAGUUUAAUUACAAAAUAAUUAAUCCCAUUUAAAAUAAACCGUUGAAAAAUAAACAUAUUAUUAACUGAAAGUUAAUAUAAUUAAACAACAAUAAAAGCUUAACUUAUUGAGUGUAUUUGUAAUCAUCUAAAUUCAAAUUUCCCUAAUUAAACAACAAUAAAAUAAAGAGUUUGUAAUGUAAAGAAAAAAAAAAUGUAAUGUUUGAAGUCGAGAACAAAAAUUUAGUUUUGUUUUCUCGUUUGAAGUAUAAUAAGACAUGUAUACGUAGGAAGAAUGAAGCGAAAUUUACAAUUUUCUUUUAGAAUUAUGAUGGAAUAAUUUUUUCGUUAUCCUACACAAGUUAGGAUUAGACGGUUUUAAAUCAAUUAAUUAUUGUUCUUAGACUCAUUUUAGCCGAACUCGACAUUACUCACAUUCAAGUCCUUUUUCUUUUUGGGUUGAACAAAAGCCAAAAAUUGUAGCAGUGGUCCAACCUUAUUUUCCCUACCUUUGCAUAUUUAGGUAGCUUCAAUUUCUCCUACAACAUUAUGUUUGUUUUUCCCUUUACUGAUUUUGUAUAUAAAAACUAUAUAAUAAAAAAAGAAUUACAAUUUUAGUUUUCAAGUUGUGAAAAAUACGUGUGGUUAUUACUGCGUUAAUAAACAUACUGUUUUAGUUAUCGUUUAAACAAAUUUAAAAGACUAUUAAAGUUUCUUUUUAUAAAAUUAAUCAUACGACAUCUAAAAUUUCUAAGAAAUAGUUUUGGAGAGAAAUGUUGGAUGUAUUUAAAUAAUACGUAUAGGUAAAGUGCGGAAUAUGUAUAUUUAUUAAAUUAGGUCUAUUAUGUCAUCCAUGAUUCCUAAUUGAGUAUGGAAGGGUAGAAGCCAAUUCCUACACUGACCAGAAUUUAAUGAAAAUCAUAAUUGAACUAGUAUAUAAAGAGAUUUAAGGUUAUGGUCUCGAGAAAGAUUCCACUAAGAGCAUUUAGAGUUUUGGUUGACUAAGACAAACUAUUUUACAUCCAUCGUUAGUUAACCAGAGAUAGAAUCUAAUAAGUAAUUUAUUAUUGACAAUUUGACAUGAAUAAUAAUGGAUUAAUAUGUUAUAUAGAUUUAAAGUAUUUAUACUAACAAGAAACCGAUUUUUAAAAAUUGUUUGUUUAAUUUAAAAUGACAUAUGACUAGUUAAAAUAAGUUCGAAGUCCAUUUUUAAAAACAAGGGAAUAAAAAGUUGUCCAAACAAAUAACCUUUAGACCUCAACUAGGAAUGAAGGUUGAGUGUGACUAUAAAAAAAGACUGGACCUUCAAGUGGCAACUGUGAAUUUGUAAUUAGGGAGGGAAAAAUACUCCAAAUACAUAUGAAAAAGGCUUCAACGCUAGAGUAAAAAGAGCAGAAUAGUUAAGAAAUUUAGGAGUUGUAAGUUUAGGUUAGGUUAAACAGAACCGUAAGAAGAAUAUAUUUAAAAGGAGAUUUGAUGUGGCGUUUAAUAUAAAGUUUUUGGCAUUCCUAAAUCCUAAUCAGAGUUAGAUGUUAUUUUAUCUCUAACUUAAGUACCAAAACUGACACAAAAUCGAAUGCCUUGGGAAACCCAAAUUCUCUUUAUAUUUCGGCAUGGCAUGAAUAAGGCAAAUUAAAAGAAACAGAUUUUAAAAUCGGGGGAGUAAAUAGGUAAAGAGGGGAGGAAAGGUUUUUAAAAACAAAAUGAUAGGGAAGCGAUAAAUAAGAAUCUAGUUCCCUUCUUUUUUCUGAAAAACAGAUGAGUCGUACGUUUGGCAUGAAAAAGUGGAAAACCAAAAAACCCCUAAUCUCAAGGCUAUUUUCGUCAUUUAAUCUCUCUCCAUUGUGGCUUUUUCGUAAUUUUCUCAAAACAAUAAGCCCAAAUCCAUAUCUUCUCUUCUAUAAAUAACACCAUCCCUUACCUUUCCCUCCCCCUCCCCUUCCUCUUCAACUUCCUCUAUUCCAUUCUCUCUUUCUUUCUAUUUUUCUCUUCCCCUUGUUUCUCCUUUUCUAUUUUUGCCCCCCUCCCUCCCUCCCUCUCCUUUAUCAAUUACUAAACUAAUUUAUCAGCCUGGCUUCUGGGGGUUUAUUUGUGAAAUUACUAAAACAUAGGGAUUGGGCGUGGAAAUUUUUGGAAGGGGUUUUUAUUUUUAUAUUUUGCUAUUAUUUUUAUUAUUUGCUGACGUGGCAUGCAUUGUGGGGGAGUAGUAGUAGUAGGUUUAGGUUAAGAAGAGAGAAGAAGAUUUGAAGGAUGAUGAAUAGUAAUACCACCAAAACGAUGCGUUUACCUCCUCGUAGAUUAAUGACGUCACCUAGGCCCAACAACAAGAGGAAAGAAAGAGAGGGCCUUGAUUAUGAUGAUGAUGAUGAUGAGGCCCACCAACUGCCAUUGACGGCUAAAGUACCCAAGCCGACGCCGACGCCGCAUUCCAAGCAGCUCCUUGCCGGCUACUUGGCUCACGAGUUCCUCACUAAAGGAACGCUCUUCGGUCAGACUUGGGAUAAUCCAGAUCCGGCUGCUAAUGCUAACGCUAACGCUAUGGCUUCUUCCUCUUCUUCCUUUUCUUCCUUUUCUUCUUCUCCUCCACUCACUACAGAGCCUCAAGAGAAGCGCCAAGCCGAAGCCCAAUUACACCACCCAAAGAAGAAUUACCAAUCCUACGUGGAGGUGGCUAAUUUGUUGAAACACAAUGGGCCCCACCUUGAAGGUAUUGUAAAUCCCACCCAGCUAGCUCGCUUCCUUAACCUAUGAUGAUGAUGAUGAUGAUGAUUUUCUUCCUUUAAUUAAAAAAAUAUAGUAUUGAAAGGAAAAAUAAUAUCCUAUUUUCCUCAAUCUUUUUUUUUCUGUAUAUUUAUCAGAAUUAGUUAAAUAAUAGAUAGAUUAUUGCAAGUGACAAAAUAUUAAUGCAAAUAAUAAUUUUAAGAUUGAUUGAAAAAUGAAAGAAGUAUAAUGGUAUAUUAGAAUUUUAUUUAUAUAUAUAUUUGUCUCUCCGUUACCUUAGCUGUGUGUAACAUGUGAUGUGGACCAUCUUUUUAGGGGGACCGCUUAAAUGUCUUUAAAUAAUAUAGUUUUUAAAAGAUCAAUUCCGUCCAUAAUUUUUUAAAUUUAUAGAAAAAUUAGAUGACUUUGUUAUAUUUUAUUAUUAGAAUUCAUAUCUCUUCGCGAUUGCAUAAUUUGUUUCGAUAUAAUAUAUAUAUGUAAAUCAUUGAAAUGAUAGGAUUUUAAUCUUGGUGAGUUAUUUUUCUUUAUGUGAUUAAAUUGUUAUAUAUAUAUAUAUAUUUAGAUAAUUUACACUAUUACAAUAUCAAAAAUCGACUUAACACGAUACAAGAGUUUAGUAAAAGUGUAUUUAGUUGGUAAAUUUAUAAUUUUUAAGAAAUUAAAGAUAAUAUAGAUUAUUUAAUUAGAGUAAUCAAAAGUAGGUGAAGUUUGCAAAAAUACCCUUUAAGUCGAUUCCAAUUAUAUCAAAUUAUGAAAUUUAUAAUUAAAACAAUAAUUUAAGUUUUUAUUUUAUUAUUUUAAAUAGUUUCAAUUUUUUUUCACUUUUUAUAUUUACAACAUUGUAUUGAAUUAAAUUUAUUCACAUGGAUUAUAAAUUUAGAAGUUUAAUAUUACCAAAAGAAAAAAAAAAAAAGAUAUGGUAUAUAUUCGAGAAUUGUGUUUAGAUUUGUUUCACACUGAUUAAAUAUAAAAAUUUCUCCCUCAAUUAAUUUAGUGAGUCUGUGAAGUUUGUUUUUUAAAAUAUUUCAAAUUUUGGGUUAAAGCAUAAAGUUUGCUUAAAACGUUAAUUUUUAUAAAUUAACCUCAAAAGUGUGUAUCAAAUUAUAUUAAAUGUGUUACUUUUAGUCCUUAACUUAGUUUCUAAACUUUUCAAUUAAUUUUUGAGAUACAUUCUUCUAAACUUUAUUCUAAAAUUAUAAAAGUAUCUAAUAAAUUCUAAAAUUCCCAAUUUAACAUCCUAUAUAUCGUUAAUUUAAUUAAGAUAUGUUUAAUCUACUAUCUACUAAACAUAAAAUUGAAAAUUUUGUAUUUGUUGGACUCAAAUUUAAGUUUAAUCGUAUUUGUCUCGUAUAAAAGAUAUAUUUACAUUUGUACAGUCAUAUUGUAUCAAUAAGUAACCAAAAAGCUUCCGAACAUGUAAAACGCGAAAAAUUAUAAAAUGUGAGAAACAAAGACGCCGUCUGUGGGGAUCGAACCCACGACCACGUGGUUAAAAGCCACGCGCUCUACCACUGAGCUAAGACGGCCAGAUGAAAGAAAAGAGGAAAAAUUAUUAAUACAAUAAUAUGAUAUUGUUCAAUUUAGAUUUUUAAUAUUUAAUUUAAUAACUAUACUUUCUAAUUUAAAUAAAACAAUUGGAGCGUUGAAGUUCAUACCAAAAAUCUUGUGGUUACUAGGAAAUUCAUGUGCCCAUUAAGUCGUACUUGUUUUAGUACGAGAAGUUAAGUAUACCAUAAGAUAAGUCGUAUCUUAAAAUAUAGUAUCUACAAUUCAUGUAAAAUAUUGAAUAAACUGUUUGCAUUUAUAGGGUGUGAUCUAAAUUUAAAUUUGUUUAAUAAUUAUGUUUACAAGUGAUAAAACCAUGUUAAAAUAUGAAAUAAAACUAAUUCAUUAGAUUAAUCUUACAUGAUUGAUUAAAUAAUUAUAAGCUUAGUUGAAUAUGUUAAAAAGAUUGUUAGGUAACUUGGGUACACGUGUGAAAGAUGUCAUUUUAUAUUUUAUAUUACAAUAGAAGAGGAAAACAAUUGUUAAUUAAUGUACUUAAUUGUAUAUAUAUUUUUCUAUGAAAUAAUAUUUUAUAUGACUACUGAUUCAUCGAUUAAAAAUAUUAUGGAUUCAACAAAACAAUAUUUAUGGUCGUCUUGAUUUUGGUUAUACUAAUAUAGUUAGAAUUCAAUCACGUUGUUAAAGAGAAAUAAAGAUAUCCAUUUUUUUGGGUUAGGGGACCUCGAAUCUUUGGUUGGGCGGAAAAUAAAGUAGGAAACGAGGGAACAAAAUUGUUUGCAAGCCAAAGAGACCGUCGUUCAUCCAAUUUAUUGUCAAUAUUGUUAUUUUUUUAAAAAAUAUACAUAUAAAUACGUACAAUAACAACGAUUAAAUAAUUUUAGUUUCUUAUACUUUAAGGAUGAUAUUGUACGAAUAAUUUGAUAUGUUUGAAUAAUUUUUAAAUUAUUACGUAUGAACGAUUAAAUAAAUUUAAACUAUAAUAGGUUGACCUAGUGGUAAAAAGAGAGACAUAGUCUCAAUAACUAACUAAGAGGUCAUGAGUUCAAUCAUGAUGACCAUCUACUAUGAAUUAAUAUCAUACAACUUUAGUCCUACCCGAAAGCUAAAACAAUAAAUGAAACAAUAUAUUGAAGUCAUUUGCUAUCACGUAUAUAACUGUUUUUGUUUUUUAAGAACAAAAGACAUUGCUUCGAUGUAAUAUAAUCUGAAAAUGUUGAUAUAUGCUAUUCGAUUUAUGAAUAUUUAUAACAUAAUAUUUCAAAAACAUUUAAUUUAAUUGGUGUGGUUCGAUCUAAGAUUCAUUAUGUUAGAAUUUUCAUUACGUCUCAUAUUGUUAUAUAAUAUAUCUUUAGUUAUUACUAAUUUAUCUUAGAAAAAUAAACAUUCAAAUUUAUCAUUCAACUUUUACGUAGUCCUAAGCUCUAAAUUAAAAACAUAACACGAUUGUAAUUCAAUCGACGUAGGCUUAUACCUAUCAACCUCAUUUUCAAUUCCAUCGACCAUCUCUCAAGUAGUAAAAAAAGAGGGAAAAAAACAAAACCCUAAUUCAAAAAGAUGUAUGAAUAUGGUUAAUCCCAAACCCUAAUAUAGAAAAAAUGUCUCAAUGAGAAAAUUGGUAAAGUUUUUGACUAAUCCACGGGGAUUAAAUCGAAAUUAUGCUUAGGACCAAAUUUGUAAUUUCAAAACAUUAACAUUAUAUUACAAAGAAAUAAAAAGAAUUCUGAAGUUAGGGGUACGCUUUCUUCUUCUCCCUCUCUCAAUCGAUCAUUCUCUGCCCCCGGCGAGAACAGCCCAUACAUUUCCUUCUGCUACGCCUCCGGCAGAGCUCCUAGCUGCUUUCGGUGCCCGAUUUCUCUAGUUUUUUUUUUUUUUAGAUCCUAUCGAUUGUUCUUUCGAAAAUCAUGGUGAGAGGGUUGCUCAAUAAGCUUGUGUCUCGAUCUCUUUCUGUCGCCGGGAAAUGGCAGCACCAACAGCUGCGUCGUCUCAACAUCCAUGAGUAUCAGGUUAUUAUUAUUGUUUUUUUUUCUAAUAGUUUCUUUUACUAUGAGUGUAUUAUGGAUUUUAAUUUCUGGGUUUGUUUAGCCAUCAUAGUAGUUUGGUAAUUUGGCUGAUUUUUGAAGCAUUUGAUUUAAAAUCUGUGAAAGAAUUCUCAAUUUGCGUAUUUAUUUUGUUACGUUUACCGUGGAGAUCAGGGGGCUGAGCUGAUGAGCAAAUAUGGGAUCAAUGUGCCAAAGGGUCUUGCUGUUUCUUCUGUUGAUGAAGUAAAAAGCGCAAUGCAAGCUGCUUUUCCUGAUGCGAAAGAGGUAAGCAUGGGGUCUCACGUUUCUCUCUUCAUCCUCUUACGAGUCAUUUCUUUGGACGUCUACUAAUUAUAAAAUCAUGAAAAAUAAAAAUCAUUACAGUUAUAGUAUUGCCUCGCUUGACAUUUUUGUUUAGAAAUGCAAAAGAAGUUGGCUGUUGGUUAGCUAUUGCCACAUUAUAUAUGAGCAAACACUUAGCCAGUUUAUGAGAAGCAUUAUACAAAAUUUGAUCUCGUGCAGUUGGUCGUUAAAAGUCAAAUUUUGGCUGGUGGAAGAGGUUUGGGAACAUUCAAAAGCGGCUUAAAGGGUGGAGUUCACAUAGUGAAGGUGGACCAGGUUGAAGAGAUUGCUGGUAGGAUGCCCUUUUGUAUUUCAUUUUUGUUUUUCUAAAAGAUUCUUGGUAUCUUAUUAUCUGAAGAUUCUAGUUCGAUCUAAAAGUCCUAUCAGUGUCUUUCUUGUACAUAAUUGGUUACCACCGACAUUUAUAUUAUAUAUAAAUUUCCUGAUAUCUUAGAACUAGGACGUGGAAGAUUUCUUCAAGCCAAGUCGUCUACUGUAUUUUAUGAAAAUAACUAUUAUUUUUCAGUUUGAGUUUGCUUAAAUGUGGAGCUCACAACUUUAAUGGAGUAUUUCCUUCAUCUCUCCUCUUUUUUUCCUAUUUCGUGUGUAGGAAAGAUGCUUGGGCAGAUACUUGUCACUAAACAAACUGGUCCACAGGGUAAAGUUGUCAGUAAGGUAAAGUUGUCUUUUCACUGAUCAAUCCCUCAAGUUCCUUGUGAAUAUGUUGAACCUAAUUAGCUAUUAACUUUUCUUUUGGACUCAAACCUGCACUAUUGAGUGAAAUUAUUAGAUCAAGAGGUUGACUGUGCACAUAUCUUCUCAACUAAUGUCUAGUAGUCCAGCUCACGAUGGUUGUUUUCUGAGUUCUAUUAGUAAUAUCUGUUCAACCAUCUGCCUAAGGGUGGCAAGUGGUGCCAUGUUUCGGUUGGGUAUCAAAACUCCGCCAAAGACAUUUCUAAAAAUGGCUUAGAACAUGAAUACUACCUAUACCUAUUACCUAGUCCAAUUAAUGCAGUGGAUUAGUUAGCUUAGGGCUCUCGUCAUUUAGUUCAACUAUGCAUAUGAUAUAGAUAAAAAGCGAUGUGUAUUAUAGAUACAAAUGGCAAAACGUCCCAAGGCCAUGCAUUGAAUUGAAAACAUCUUUGCUGGAAACACUACUUAAUAAGGUCUUUCUUACUACUUGUUACAUAGUUGGCAUGAAACCAUCACAUCUUCUAGGAUAAGGCUACUGUUUUCAAUGACAUUUUAACACUUAACUUAUAUAGCUCUUUCAUGGUGUAAAAUUUUCCCUCUUUAGUUCCUACAACCUCACUUCUCUUAUUGUUCAAUGGAAGAGUUUUUUUCUUCUUGGGAUUUCAUCUUAUCAAUGAAAUGAAGGAAUUGAUGGUUUCUGUAAUUCAAUAGUUUGCAAGUAUAAACACUCAAGAGCUGUUAAGUUCUGCACUGAUAGUAUAGUGAGGGUGAAAGCUCUUGUGUCCAAGAUAAAAAUUGUAUAUCUUGGAGGGCACUGAUGAUACAAGGAUUGAUAAAGGAUCCACUCACAAAUUAGUUUCCAAUUAUGAUGUGUUGCAGUGUGUUAAAUUUUUUGUAUAUCUUCUAGUAACAAUCUGUUAUUCUCUAUUAAGAACCAUAGUCUUGUCUUUCUUCCUGCUCCUUAUCUUGUUUGUGUCUGCUGUAUGGUUUGUUCAACACCUGACACUAGGAUCUGAAUACUUUUCAUGACUGACUUAAUUUUCUUUGUUUCCUUUUUAUAAAUUAAUGCAGGUUUAUCUAUGUGAGAAGUUGUCACUUACCAAUGAAAUGUACUUUGCUAUCACAUUGGAUCGUAAAACUGCUGGUCCAGUAUGUUCCAUUACCAUGUUUGCCUAAUUCAUUUCUUUUUGCAGUGAUUUUUCUGCCUUUUUAUUUAGCUUUUCAAAUUUGGUGUUCCUAGGGAGGAUUUCGAUUGUGAAAUAAAACAAAUUUUAACUUGCUUUAUUUUCAGCUUAUAAUUGCCUGUAGAAAGGGUGGAACUAGCAUUGAAGAUCUUGCUGAGAACUUCCCAGAUAUGAUUAUAAAGGUUGUUAUUUUGUCUUUGCUUGUUUGGUAGUGUUGCCAAGUGAAAGCGACCUUUUCUUCUUUUGACAUUUGUUCAUCUUAAUAUUUCCUCACUCAACCAUUGUUUUCUUCUCUGGAAGGUACCUAUUGAUGUUUUCCAAGGAAUUACGGAUGAAGAUGCUGCAAAAGUUGUGGAUGGUUUGGCUCCCAAGGGUGCUGACAGACAGGAUUCAAUCGAACAAGUGAAAAAAUUGUAUAAACUCUUCUGCGAAUGUGACUGCACGUUACUGGAAGUAAGCACAGCUUAAUUGACUUGACUUUUUGAAAUUUACAUAUUAGCUUGAAUUGCUCCACUCCCUAGAGUGUUUGGUCCCGACUAUCUGUUUGAUUGCAGGUAAAUCCCAUGGCAGAGACUUCAGAUAAUCAGCUGGUGGCAGCUGAUGCUAAGCUAAACUUUGAUGAUAAUGCUGCAUUUCGUCAAAAAGCAAUAUUUGCUCUCCGCGAUCCAACUCAAGAGGAUCCUCGAGAGGUCUGGUUUUCUUUCUUUAUGUGGAAGAGAAUACUUUCUUGCUUCUAUUGAGAUAUUGGUAUGAAAAUAAAAUCCUACUGUUCUUUUUUUUUUUUGUGAAAAAUACACCAACUUAUAGAGGUUACUCCCCAAACAUUAUAAAGUGAAAAUUUAAUCCAACCGAUGUUGAUUAUUCGGGUAAAAACAAUUUCUUAUUUACUCUAAAGGAAUCCUCAUUUGCUCCUACCUUCAGCCCUGGAUAUUUGUGAACUCUUUUCUUUUUAUUAUGCAUUCGAUGUCUUCAACCUGAAACCUAGUUUCAAAUCAUUUGUAAUUAUUUGUUAGAAUUUCAUCUUUAUUAUAGCCCUUACCUUGACCUCAAUUCUUAAAAGAUAUCAUGUAAUUUUAUUGUGUAUUCCACAUCUUGUAGAAAUGGGAACAAAUCAUAGUAGCUAGAUAUCUAGGAUUUAAUAUUCUACAAAUUUUAUUGACUACCAAUUAUUGUGGUUGUCUCAUAAGAUUAGCCAAAGUUAGCUUGUUUGGACACUUACAAAUUUUAAAAAUAAAAAAGUUUUCCUAGAGGCAUGUCCUUUUAUUCUUAAAAUAAGCAGAAAAAGCACCAACUUUUCCUACUCUCUACCUAAACGUUUGGAAGUUCAAAAGUAGUUGAAGUCUUCAUACCUCUCUGUCCCUAUUUACCCCUAACUCUUCUCUUUUGGAAUGUUGCAUUUUUUCUCAUUUCACUUUCAUCGUCUCCCUUCAUUCAUCAUUCUUCUACGAGGAUGGGUUCAAGUUUGUAUGUGAAUACUAUGAAGCAUAACAACUUUGAAAUAAUAUGCCUCUUUGAUUUUCAUUAUUCUUUUGAAUAGGUUGAUGCAGCCAAAGCAGAUCUAAAUUACAUUGGCUUAGAUGGAGAAAUUGGAUGCAUGGUUAAUGGUGCAGGAUUAGCAAUGGCUACGAUGGAUAUAAUUAAGCUGCAUGGGGGAACUCCUGCCAAUUUCCUGGAUGUUGGUGGAAAUGCUUCUGAAGGGCAGGUAAAAGAUUCAAGCAAUCGAUCUCUUCUGAAUCCCUCUACUUCAUUCUCGCCCUUUCAGAAUUUUAUGACAGAGGGUGGUGUCAAUUUUGAUUAAACAUAAUUUUAAUUUCCUUUGUGUGAAAUAUACUUUUUUGAUAUUUAACUUUCAAACCAUGUGUGCAUGUGUGGAAUGUGCGGAAAUCUCAAAACUUUGUCGCUAUAUACAGUUCAUUCAUUUUUUACACAAUGGUCAUUAUUGUCCGAGUUAAUAACUAAACUGUGUAAAGCAGGUAGUUGAGGCAUUUAAGAUAUUGACUUCUGACGAGAAAGUUAAAGCAAUUUUGGUGAACAUUUUUGGUGGAAUAAUGAAAUGUGAUGUCAUAGCUAGUGGAAUUGUCAACGCUGCCAAACAGGUAAAAUUUACAUAUUUCUGGUUUCCAUCCUCAGUAUGUCAUAGACUGCUUUCCUUGGUGUUUUUGGUAUUUCAGCUAUCAAAUACACACUUUCACUGCUAUCCUCUUUAAUCAAGCAGCUUCAAAUAUAUAUAUCCCGAUUCUACAUUUACAUUUCAUCCAUGCUAAACAGUUAAGAAAACUUUUUUGAUAGACACAACUUGAGAAAAAAAUGAAAUAAUACAAGGGCAUACAAAAGAACAUGUCUAACAAAAAAGAGCCCCUCUAAAGGAAGGGGAUCCAAUUAAGGGUAAUGUUUCCUAGCGAGUAGUUACAAAAAAGCCUCGAAAUUGAAGCCCAAAAAGAAACGCAUGAAAUCUCACUAAAAUAUCACCAGGUUUCCCUAUCCUUCCCUCUAAAAACUCCCCCCAAAUAUCCCACAUAAUUGCAUACAGCUCAGCAAGCCAUAAAAAGCGGCCUCUCUCUCAAAGGCAGAUGGAGGAACUCCUCAAUCAUUGCACACACAGCUCUUUAACCAUUAAUGCUGACGUUGAACUUUUGCAAGAAUAAGCUCCACACAGAUCUCACAUACUGGCAACCUCACAAGAGAUGGAUCAGGUCUUCCUCCGCCUUCCAGCACAAAAUGCAGCAAAAAGGCCUCACAAGCUAUGUUUUCCUCCUAGCAAGUCUAUCUAAAGUGUUUACACAACCAAGCAAGACUUGCAAAAUAAAAAACCUAACUUUUCUUGGGGAUCUUAAUCCUCCAAAUGGUAUAAAAAGCAGACUCCCCAAUGGGAGAGGGAUCUAAAAGCAAUCUGAAGAAGGAUUUAUAAGAAAACCUCUCCCUCGGAUUUGGACUCCAAAGACAAACAUUCCUUCUCCCUUCCCCAAAAGAGCACCCAUCAGUAAGGAAAGCAGAGAGACAACCUCCACUGUUUCCCUAUUGGACAAAUUACGACGAAACCCAAAGAAAAAAGACAGACUUCUCUGAUCAAAUCAAGAAGUUAGAAGUUGGGCAAUUUUUAAGGGAAGGAAGGUGAUAAAAGACGAGAAAAGACAGAAAAAAGAGCACAUUCCCCACCCACCGAUCCUCCCAAAAAAACGUGUCUUGUCCAUUCCCCACGACACACUUCCCAAAAAGAGAAAAGGUAGGUAGAAAGCUCAAACGAGAAUGAUAGAAUGGGUCAGUGUAGAGCUCAAUGGGGAUGGAUUCUCUGCUUCCUUUAUAAUUCUGGGCUUUUUAUACUUGUCACCAUAUUAAUGCAAUGUUCACUUUCUUUUAAACAAAAACAUUGCCGGAAGAAUUUGAACAUUUGCAUAAUUUCAAUCCUCAAUAAACGCAGAUGGAUUCAAACAAAACUUUGGUAUUCACCUUUUUAGUCCUUAAAAGUCUUAAGUAAACUUGCACAUGUACUUGAAAACUACUGCCUUCUGUUUGUUAAGCAAGAUACAUGGUUAUGAUUAUGUUAUUCUAAGAUUGGAUAUGACCUUUGUGUUUAAGGUUGCUCUCAAAGUGCCCGUGAUUGUUCGGCUUGAAGGUACAAACGUUGACCAAGGAAAAAGAAUUCUGAAGGUAAAUCUUCAAAAUCGUCGGCGUUAUUCCUUUUUUUCCCCAAUAACAAAAGGUUCUGCUCUUUUUUAUACGCUUACUGAGAUGAGUAACCAAAUUCUAUGUGAUUGCUGAUGGCUCCAUAGGAAAGUGGAAUGACAUUGAUAACAGCAGAAGAUCUGGAUGAUGCUGCAGAGAAAGCAGUUAAAGCAGCGUAUUGAGUUACUUUCAAUUCUUUUUCCAUGGGAUAGCUUGUUUCCUUGUGAUUGUUAUUUUUUGUUGGAUCAAUGCGAUUUUGAUCGCACCUUUCCUGAAAAUUUGAGGAAACAUUGUUUGCCGCAAGACGAAAGCGCACACACCAUCAAUUAUUCGAUGAAAACAUAGUUGAAAAAUUUAAUAACGAGUAGCUUUUUUGCUGAGGUUAUGGGUGGCUGUUGUCCGUGCCCCUUUUUAAUUUGAUAACUCAAGUUAGAGAGAUGGAAUUUGUAAUCUACCAGAUUUUCUAAUGCCAUUAUAAGUCAUGUUUCUUUAAUCUCCCAGGUAACCAUUUGGUUGGUGAUAAUGAUCAAGUGGGUCUUCAAGAUAAAAUGGCACUCUCAUGUCAUUAUAUAUAUCUAUGAAUAACAUAUUUCUAAUGCCUUGCCUUAUUUUUCCAUUGCAAAUCUUUGAGUGCGAUCAAUUUCAACUAAGCCUUGCCUUCACCUCAAUUUAAAUAAGAAAUCAAGCAAAUAUUAUUUCUCUAGGCAUGGAUUGGAAAUAAGGGAAAUUGUUUUAAAUUAUAAAACUUCUAAAAGGUAUAUACGAAUAUAGUAAAAUGUUACUAUCUAUCUAAUAAUAGAUUAUGAGAGACUAAGAUAUAUUAUUCUCUAUAUGGAAAUAUGUAGUAGUAAGUUAAGAUUAGUAGAUAUUUUAUUAUAUUAGCUAAACAUUUUAGCAAUUAGUUUCAAGCAAUAAAUUUGAAAAAGUUAUAAGGAAUCAUAUUAAAAGGUUUUCUUCCCAUUUAAACCUUUCAUAGUUAAACCACCACAACCGAAUAUCAAUAGUUUUUUUUUCUAGAAAAAGAAAAUUAAAGAUAUUUUAUAUGUUCACUUAUUUUCAGAAGAAAAACAAUUAAUGUGAUUUAUCCAUGGAAAAUUGCCAUAAAUAACCAAAAACAGAACUUUUUAUAAAAGACAGACAUGCUUUCUGACUAGUGGUUUCAUAAAACCAUUUUUAGGAGUGGAACUCCAUUUUUGAGCUUGGAUUACAAAAACAUCAAAUACCUACAAAACUUCCUCCAUUGCCAAAUUGUUUAAGCACAUUCAUUGUCUAAACCCUCUCAAUUUUAUUUUCAUUACUUGAUAGUGUACUCCAAUGCUCAAAAUUGUCAUGCCACUGAUUCAACCUGUGAACAUCCCCUUUUAAACUUCAAACAAUUAACUAAAUAUCAAACUCGGACUUUAGAAACCAGAAGUGUAUUUCGCUUUUUCUAAAUCAGCAACUGAAGCUUCUGUUCAUAAUCAUCCCAAGGAGUGAUUGCUCCAUCCAUAACCACCCCCUCAGCACAUGUUACUGUAGUUAGUUUUUUGGAUGCAGUCACUUUUCUCUAACAAUUGAAUUCAGGAAAAGAAAAUAGAGCAAACAAUGAACAUACGAAAUAAAGCAAAAGGUUUGCUUGGAUUCUAACAGGACUCCUCAAAGAUUAUUGAAUAAAUUUCAUCAGCUAGUUGUAUAGAUAUGAUACUCUAAAGUUCAACCAGAAACAACAAAUUAUGAGAAGACGUGGGAUGGAAUGAAAUUAAUAAUUCAUUAAUCUCUUAUAAACAUAUCGUGAAGUUGUUUGAUUUUCUCAAGGUAGGACCCUCUCAACGUACUCCCUCAAAAUGGUGUCUAUUUUGGUUAUGUCAUUCUUGGAUUGAAUCUCAAUUUAUGUUGAGAUUUAUUUCGAAUACCAUAUGAUAUAAUUUCUCAAAUAAUCAGAGAGUUCUCUUAUUGAUAUAAUCUUAGAAAUGAGUCUAUUGGCAAGAUACAAAGACUAACAAUAAAACUGAACUUCAAUACAAUAUUUAAAACUUUUAAAAGUAACUAAUUAGUUUAUUUAAUUGGGUAUAUAUGGUGAAAUACUAUACCAUGGUUAUAAAUUCUCAACACUGUCGCAAAAAGAAAUAUGAACUUACCAUUGGAAAGUUGUGUGAAGAAGAGGAGGAUUAAGAGCUGAGAUCAGUCAUAAGAAAGUGCAUUUGUUCUCUCAAGUGCAGAACCUGUUAUGAAUCCGGUAGACAUAUUAGGAAUAAGGAAAACUCUCCGAUGUAGUUUUUCAAGGGGGGAGGGUGCAAGCCAAAUAAGAAAGAAAACAAAGCUGGAUUACCUCAUCCUGAAGCAAAGCCGGAAGGUAGUUUUCUCCAACAAGCCUAUUAAUGUCGGCCAACAACUUCUCAUCUUUAAGGUUGAACCAAAUAUGUUGGGGCAGUGAUAGCAACAAUAUGGUAAGAACAUCAAUAACAGAUGGCCAUUGACAACAACACUCAUCUGAAAUAUGACUUGAUUCUGUUUUACAUAAAGGUACCAACAUAUCUACUCCUUCUUUGAUAGCAUUAGUAACAACAGUCCCUGACAUCACCACUGCUGACUUCUCAUUUUCAGCAUUCAAAAGAUGGAUAUCGGUUUUGGACAAACGUUGAUCAGCUGAGCAAGAUUUUGCAGCUAAAGUUUCUGCCCCUUGACAACAAACCGUUGCAGCAAUUUCGGAUAAUUCAUCUUUGUUAAACAAAGAUUCGGAGCCUUCACAUAGAGUCCCAGAUGCCAACCACUGUUUGAUAUGUUUGAAGAGUUCAGUCGCUCGUAGUUGUUCCAAUAUCUCCUCCUGAGAUCCCACACUUUUAAGUUUCAGAAAAAAAAAAAAACAUUUAAGGGUAUGUGCAAAAAGGGAAAACAGGAAAAAUAAUAGAAAGAAAUUCAAGAGAACCUUGACAGCCAGUCUUCCUUUCUCCUCUGCAUUUAGUUUUACAUUCCCAUCCUCUUGCUCCCGAACUUCUGCAACCCAUUUGAUAAAGUUCUUGAGAUUUUGAGGUGGCAAUUUAAAUACUUCAGAAAGUAAUUCCUCUACACUUUUCACAUUUUCAGUUUUCAGAAGUAAAGGAACUUCUUCUGUUAAGUAUUUUAUAGUAUCAUUCCAACCGUCAUCUUGACAACUCUGCACAAAACAAAUUUACAACCAUUGAUCAAUACUAAUUCUUAAUCUAUAUGCAGAAGAAAAGAUCUAAAAGCAGAUGCUACCUUAAUUCUUUUAAUCAUGGCUAGUCUUCUUAAAAGUUAUUCCAACGAACUAUUUUAUUUUUUGGUUUGAAAAACUGCAAAUGAUUCACUAGUUUUAAAUUUUACCAUUUCUUAAGGAAUUAUACAUAUCAAACUAAUAGAAUAAGAAUAAGAUGUACCAGAGUGUAAAGAAUAGACGGUCCCCUAGUUAGCUUUGAUAAAAUCAUGUAUCUGCGUUAAAGAAAGAAAUAAGAAUAUGAUCUGCAUCAGCAUAUAAAUAAACAGUCAAAAUAAGAAUAGAAAUUUACCCUCUAGUUAGUCCUGUUGCACCAUCAAUUGUGUUCAUGGCAUCCCACAAUAGGGUAAGUGGAACCCAGUGAGGAGGAUACUUAAAACGUGCAACAUCCAAGAUGAGAACCAUGUCUUUUCCAGCAUGAUAACCCCCAAUUGGUGAGAAAUGACCAGUUCCAGUCUGAAGCCAAUCAUUAUCAUUAUGUUAAAGACAAACCUCAAAUUAACUUCUAUGACAAGUGAUCAAACAAGCUACAUCCUCCUCUGAUUGGCAACAGUUGUUUCUCAUGCACUUAUUCACAGGCAACGCUCCAGCCAGAGCCUAAUCUUUGAUAACAUUUUAUCUAAAGAAAUAUAUAUGUUUUUUUCAGGUACUUUUUGUUUAUUGGUUCAAAUUUACAAUAAAAUACACCUUUUUCAGUUACUACAACUAAUUUUGAAGACAUAUAGUAAGACCAUGACGAAGGUACAUACUUGAUAUAUAUACCUGCUUAAAAACUCCUCUAUGGUAGGAAGUGAUCACAUGACAGUCUUCAGAAGAUGAACAUGAUAUAACGUGCUUACGAAAAUCAUCAAUUGUGCUUUCAUUUGUCCUAAAAGCUAGCACUUUAGCACCAUUGCACCGAGCCAAGCACGCAACCUUACCAAAUGUGAUUCCAUCCGUUUUGAUCUUUGCCAAAGGUUCACAGCAGUCAAGCAUAGUGUCAUCAAACCAUCUCCAUGGUCCUGAAGAAAAUAAAAACUGACACUAUGUUGUUAUGAAGGUACAUUUAAACAACAAAUGGUACUGCUAGUUUGAUCACCUACUUCUUUUUGUUUCUUUUCUCUUUUCUUGUGUUCAAAUACUAGUUAGGAAUAUUGCAGGAAAGAACACUGCUGAACUUAGUUUACAGUUCCUAUAGUGUGAGCAGUGAAGGUUUGGAGACUACAUGGCCACACCUUUUAAUUUUGAUUAAAAAAGAAUAUAAAUGGGCUAAAUGUUAACUCUUAUCAGAACUAAGAGCACUUUGACUGACUUUAAUAGUAAGUUAGCAACAUGAAGUUGAGUUUGACAGUGAACACUUUUUGUAUAUCCAAUAGCUAGUGAAGUACCAAUAGGCACCAGAUUCUCCAAUUUGGAACUGAAAUCACCAAGACUCGAUAGGUAAUGUUCUCCAAACUGAAAAAAGUGGUCAAUGAAAUACUUCCCGCAUAGUAUUGAAAUGACCGAAAGGAAACUCAAAGCCCUGAUAGAUAUAUGCUUACAAGAUACUGAAACAAAAAUACAUUUUUGCAUGAAGACUACAAGGGAAAUGGGAUUGCAACUCAAAUCACACAUAGAAGAACCAAAGGUAGAUUGGCUAUCAAUUACUAAGGAAAAAGUAGGGAAUUUUCAACUUACCUUUCCAUUUUCUACCGGGAUCAAUAGAAAGAGCAUUGAGAACAACAGCAAGAGUUGCUAGUCCACAAUAAGCCGGUUCUGAUUGGGUUUGAUAGUAAGAAAUCAAUCUAAAAAACCCUUCCAUAGUUCCAUCUCCAAGGGCCUCAGUAAACAAAAGCUGCAAGAUUCACAGCUAAAGUUAGUAAAAAUAAUCAGAAAGAUUGAGAAACUGAGAAAGAAGAUUUGGGGUAUUGAAUUGAAGGAACCUUUCCCUCGGAAGAAGCAAAAUCAACAGCGGGAGGAGAAGGAAGAACUCUGCGAUAAAAUCCAGCAACCGCCAUUAGAGGAAAGAAGGAUUGUCAAGAUUCGAUAUUUGAAGGACCCCAAUGAAUGUGAGGAGAAAAUGGAAGGGAAAUUCUUGAGAAUUUUGAAUAUUUUUCAUGGAAGUCUCCUCCAUGUUUUUUUCGGGCACAGUGGAAAGUUCAGCAUUGAUGCAAAGAUGAGAUUUUUAUAUUCUUUCUAAAUCAAAAUUAAAAGGGCGCCCAUGGAUGGCCCACCCUUUUAAUAUAAGUAAAUUUUAAUAAAUGGUCUAAAUUGAUUUAUUUAUAGUAACUCUAAAGUUUGAUUCAAAUAUUAGGAGUUGAAGUUAAAUCUUAAGAUUAAUAUAAUUAUUAACCUAGAGCAUUACAUGUAGGUCUAUAAAAAAUCAACUUUUAAGAUCUAUAACAUAAAACAUGUUUAUUAUAAUUAAUAAUAAAUAUGAUUCUAACCGUUACUAAGAAAGAUAUUCCGAUGUAUCUACACACUUACUAUAUUCGUGGUUUAUAACUAUAUUAUCAAAUAGUAUUUGAACAAUGGUUUAAUUAAGAUCAAGUUUCUAAAUCUACUAACAAAUGCAACAACACUGAUGAAUUUUUAUUGAAUCUCUGGUUUUUAGAUCACUAACCAACUCAUACCCUUAAUCCCUAAACUUAUUUGUAAUGUAGGCACAGACUCACACCAACCUCAAUCUCAAUGAAAACUAGUUUACUUUUUCCCUUCUACAACAAAUGGGGUAUAAAAAUUUGAACCUGACUUCACUUUGGUAAACUAAUUUACUUUAUACACAAGAAAAAUAUUCUACAAAAAAAGAAUUAUUAAUAUCUGCCAAGCUUCAUGGCCAAAAUUGGACACCUAUAUGACAGAGUAGUUCACUUGAACCAACACACCAAAAUCUUGUGCAAUAUUUAGGCAUUGCCUGCCAACUCAUGGAACAUAUCAUAAACCGUUGGUCACUUCAGUCUUCGACUAUAAUUGUUUCAAGGUUGUCGUAUCUUGAUAAACAUUUCGAUAUGGUGCCUGCUAUAAAUGAAUUCAACUCUCCAGAAUAAUGUUUUGUAGACCGUGUCUGCAAAUACAUUAAGAUGAAGGAAGUGCACUAAGAUCCAGAUCGACCUUGUCCUCGUGAUAUUUUUGAAGAAGACGGAGUUGUUUCCGCAAGUGCAACACCUGCCCACGAUAAAUUCCAAAACUGAAAUAUUUGGACUUUUCCUUUAAAGGUUUAACAAGCAUAAUAAUGGCAAAAAAGUUAUAGCCUAUAGCAUAAAUUGUAUAUGAUAACUAAGUUUGAAGAUGUCUUCCACAGUCAGUUUUGUUAUUGACUUAUUGAAUUUUAGUCUUCGAAGUUCCUAAGUCAACACAUUAGUAAGUUGUUGUGUGUGUGUGCGCGCUGUUUAAAGACCAACUAGCAUCAAGUACCACACGUUGUAGCAGAGUAAGGAAGCUUGGCGAGAGGAUAAAAUGGCCCUAGCUUGCAAAGAACAAAGAGAAUAGAUAGAGGAAAGUAGUUACCUCAUCUUGAAGCAAGGUGGGAAGAGUUUCCGUGCAAACAAGUUUUUGUAGUUCCCGCAAAACCUUCUCUUCUUUUAUACCAAUCCAGGUUUUGGCAGGCAAGGCAAGAAGAAGUGUUGUUAACACAUCACUGGCUGCUGGAUGACUCCCUAUUUCAUUUUUCAUGCCAGAAAAACAGCAUCCAGAUCUUACAUGUGAUGAUGAUGGGACCAACAUGUCAAACUCCUGUUCAUUGUUGCCACUGACAACCAUUCCGCAUACAACUGUAACAGGCUUGUCGCCAUUAGCACCUAAGCAUCUCACACAUGUUUCACGACAGCAAUAACCAGCUGAGACGCCUGUAUUCCCAUUCAAUAUUUCUGCUCCUUGGCAACAUACACUCGCAGCAAUCUCAGGCAAAUUGUUCUCAUGAGAUGGUGUAAGCAUCUUGCAACAUGAAUCUUCUCGAGAAAGAAACUCUCCUACCUGUUUGAAAAGGUCCGUCUCCUGUACCUGUUUCAACACUUCUUCCUGCAAGCAAAAUGCCAGACAACCAUUACUAUUAACUAAAAACAUAGAUAGAUAUAUCAUUGUUUUAGUAAGAAAGGAUGGGACAAGUAUAUGACCUACACCUUCAGAGCAAGUCUUGCUUUCUCCUCUGAGCUUAAACUUUGACCACUAUCCUCUGUCCUUCGGACCUCAGCAACCCACUUGAUAAAAUCACUAUAAUUUAAGGGCAGUGAUGCUAAAAUAACAGUUAAAACAUCCUGUGUGUCUUUAAGGUCCUUUGACUUCAAGAGAAGAGGAACGUCAUCCAUUAAGUACUUUGCUAUGUUAACCCAGUCCUCAUGUUUACAGCUCUACAAGAAGUUCCCGAGUACAAUUAUAGUUGGGAGAAAUAACCUUACAAUGCAUUGGUUAGUAGUUUGUCUCAGCAUGCAUCUAACUGGGACUAAUGAUUGAUCUUGGUUUAUCCAGAUCAACAUUAAACUGAAACAAACUAAUUCAAUAGCUUUAACAAAGUAAAGUCAAAUGACAUAUAAGCUCUAUUUGUGAGCCUCUGCGUGUAGCAGAGCCAAUAAUCUUAAUUUAACACAUUGAAGAUAGAAAAACGAAGGGAGAAAGUUGGUUCCAUUAAUCCAUUUACAAAGCAAAAUAGCCAACUAUUGUAAUAAAUUGUACAAAGUGAGGCACAAGGGCAGAGUUCCUUGACAGGGGCUCCAUUUCAAGGGUGAAGCAGUGAAAUAAUAAAGCAACGGCAAACAGAAGCCUACCCAUUAACCAAAAAGGUCUUACAGAAACAAUCUGAGGCUACUAUCCACUUAAUCCACUUCAGACACUGGCAAUGAUAUUUACCUCUUAGGCUCUUGCAAUUAUAGCAUGCGUACAAAUCAUAGAAAAAUACUCUAUUGGGAAAAAACAAGAAUCCAUGUACCUAACCAAUAAAGAUUUAUGGUUUAUCCUAUAACACCUUGUUGCCAAUUAGUAAUUGCUAAUUUUAAUACCAAUAUUGCCUCAGGCAAGGAUGGCAUAGGGAAUAAGACUUCUUCUGGCCUCUUAAUGUUGUCAAUGUGCUUGUGACUAAAUAAUUUGAAAGACAUGCACCCUCAUAAUAUAAAGAUGUCAUGGAAAGGAUUAAAAUUGUAAUCUCACCAGAGUAUAGAGCAAUCCUGGCUCCCUGUGCGGCCUGGAUAUAAGCAUGAACCUGAUGAGCAAAGGAAAACAAGGGUUUACAGGUGAAGGCCUAUUAUUUGCUGGUACAAGCACAAUGAAGAAAAUAAUAGACUAGAUGCAAUCUUAUCAACAAAUAGGAACAAACUUUGUGAGUGUUUGGAGUACAUUCUCAAAUGUUUAAUUUAUUAAAUAAGUCACUUUGGAAAAACUUAGAGUGUUCGAUAACCACUUAAAAUAGCUUUUGAAGUGUAUUUUAAACAUUUCUUAUAUAAAAAAAAAGUUUAAAUAAAAAUGAGCUUUUUCUUAGAUAUUUUUCUCUCAAGUGAAUACAAACAGACCCAUAACCAAGAAAAUCCACCAAUUGCUAAUUUCAUUACUUAGAUAUGCCUCAAGAACUCUACUUUGUUGAACUCGGAAUGCACCACCAAAGAGAAAAGAGAAAAGAGAAAAGUGAACCGACGAAAGAAGUCAAACCAAAAAUCAACAAUACGUUCAAUGUAGCACAUCAUUAUAUUCCUCCACCAAUGAAUUCAAGAAAGCUUAUGUUCUUUUAUAUUCUGUUAUUUUAGAUUAGUAGGAAUGGAUAAUGCAGGUCAACCAAUGGUGUACAACAAUUAAGAUUAUAUGUUCUUCUAUAUGUCCAUAACUGUGUCACCAUUAGAUACAAACAUUUCACUCAAGGACAAAACCAUUACCCUCUAUGCUGUCCUGUUGCUUCAUCAACGUGCUCCAUAGCUUUCCAAAGAAGUUCGAUCGGAACCCAAUGAGGAGGAUACUUAAAGCGUGCAACAUCCAAGAUAAGUGCCAUGUCUUGCCCAACAUGAUACCCACCAAUAGGCGAAAAAUGACCAGUUCCUGUCUACACGACACGACAAGAACAAAGGUUUAUAGACUCUUUAAACCAAUAAAAUUCUUUGCAUUGAGAGUUAGGAGUAUGUUGUCAAAUUGAGGAUAUUCACAUUAAAGGUCUCAUAGAGAUAAUCACCAUAAAUUUAAAAUCCAACAAAACUUCAAUAUCAAGUCAAGAAAAAUCAAAAUAUAUAUUAUAUCUUUUGUUUAUAGGAGCCGUCUGUAUAUUAUAGCACCACAGGAAAGGGGGAAAAAAGAAUAAAUUGUUAUAAGCCUUAAUGAUUCUUCACAUUCAGUCAUGAAAAUUGAAGGUAAAUAAUUUAUAUAAAAUCUUUCUAGAAACAUGGGAUGUUGAAGGAAGGUAGGGCUUCAAAUUCAUGAUGAGACUUAAGGCCCUCAAACCCAAGCUGAAAAGGUGAAAUAGGAGAGUUUGUCAAGAUUCAGAAUCCAAAUGCGAGAAAAAUUCUAGGAUUAAAGCCUGGAUAAAUGAGAGCCCAAGAUAAUUUUAAGUGAGGUGUGCGACUUGGGAAGGAGCAAAAUCAAUUUCAAAGUUGAUGUAGUGAGUGUUUACUUAGUUUUUGGUUAAAUUCUGUUUUAGUUUUUAAAUACCUAGUUUGUUUGUUGUAACAUUCUAAACAAUAUAAAAAGACUCAAAAGUAUUAACAUAAGUUAUUGGAAUAUAUUACCCACCGUGAUGAUCAAACAUAUCUCUUUGAUCAUUAUUGUGCAUUGACAAAGCACCUUCGCCAAUGAAAUAAGUGAGAGGUUCCUGAAAAUAAAAUAUUAAAUAUAUCUCUACGCUCACCUGUUUAAAUGCUGCUCUAUGAUAAGAUGAAAUGAUGUGGCAAUCAUCAGAAGUGGAGCAUCUUCGUACGUAUUUGCGAAAAUCAUCAAUGGUAAUUUCAUUUGUUUGGAAGGCUUGGACUUUUGCUCCAGCACAAUUAGCCAAACACACAAGUUUUCCCAACGAGAUACCUCUAGCUUUGACCUUUUCCAAUGGUUCACAACAAUCCAACAUAGACUCAUCGAACCAUCUCCAAGGCCCUUUUACAAAAAGAGAAAGUAUAUACUUUUACUGACUACGCUCAAAUCAAUAUAGUGAACAGCAUGAAAAUAAAAGGAUGGUCAUAAAGUGUCAAUAAAUAAAAGCUAAGAAUUUGGGAGAGUAGUUAAACUUAGCUAAGCCCAAGGAUUUGUUCUUCUAAGUCAUUACUAUUAAUUAGGAAUUGGGAUGCCUUUCUACUUUUUUUUUCUCAACAAGAAACAAAACUUUUUAUUAAAGACUUAAAAGCUAAAGAGAUUAGACAUGGAAAAAAAAGCAUAAAUGAGAAGGCAUAAGAAAUAAAACAAAACAACCGGUUAUGUUAAACAAACAAAACUAAAGUUACUGUCCAGCAACUAAACCAGCAAACAAGACAUAUCGGAAGAGUUUUAUAUUCUCGACCAACUACCGUUGAAAAAUUUUGGUAGUACAUACUCAUUUCAUUCACAAUUUGAUGUACCAUAGGUGAUAUAUUAUUUUAUUUUAUGGAGCCACAGUAUUCUUACAGAACUUCUAUUAUGGCAAAUAAUGGAUGGUGGUAGGACAGAAAAGUUUUCGUGCAACUGUAGUACUAGAAAUUUCCCUCAUAUCUGAGUAUCUCUAUGGUCUACCACAUCAGCAUGAGAUCAAUGCUAAUGGUAAUACUUCAUUGCAAUAUCAAACUUGAUUUAUCAUUUGUUUUGUUUUCAUUCACCAAAGACCAUAACAGGCUCAACCCAUCAUUUUCAUAUACCAAUACUUCUUAAGAGGUUCUAUCAAAAUAGAUUCUAUUCCGCCUAUACUUGAAAAUAUUCCAUCAAUGAAACAACUAAGUUCGCUUAAUAGAUUACAUUUAAAUGGACAUCUAAAACCAUAAAAUGAAUGGGGAAAACUUCUGAGUUUGAUAGUACCUUUCCAUUUUCUUCCUGGAUCAAUGGCAAGGGCAUUCAAUACCAUUGAUAGGCUAGCCAGACCACAAUAGGCAGGCUCUGAUUGUGUUUGAAAAUUAGAGACUAGCCUAUAAAAACCCUCCAUAGUCCCAUGUUGAACAGCUUCUACGAAGAGUUGCUGCAGUUCCAAAAAGAUGCAUACAAUUAGUACUGGAAUUUUUCCCCCUUUAGUGAUUGUGCUUGAUAAAUGAUUGGUUGAGCAAUUCCAACUUCAAUGCACCAAAGAUUAUAAUUGGUCAAUUACCAAGUACUAUGGAUAAUCUCAAUCAAAAGUUAAAUUACUUCAAGCAGCCCACAGAAACAGACCCAAAACUUUGCAGUAAUUUUUUAUAAGAGAAAAAUAUGCAGAAUGAAAUGCUGUUUGGUCCCUAAUAAACAAAUACUUGUCAAUUUCUCCAUCUCCUAAUCAUUUUAAUUAAUAAAACAUUCUAACAGCAUCCAUCUUCUGAGAGCUGUGAUCUUCAGUACGAAAGGAAGAAGAAAUCAUGACCAAAAAAUUAGCUUUCACCCAGAAAUAUCAUAUGUGCUAUCGGUUGGUUCACAGGGAAGUUCCAUUUUGAAUUGUUUUUACCAAGCUCCCUAGAUUAACCGUAGACCUUGCUGAUUUGCCAUGUAAUGUCAAGAUUAACCAGGAAGCAUUAUCGAUGGCAGAAAGAUUUGUGGAGCUGCACGAAGAAGUUCAAGACCAUUUGGAAUGGUCUAACUCGAAGUACAGGUACAGCUGUGCAGGUUGAUAAAAAUAGAAGGGAGAAGACACUUGAGAUUGGGGACCUAAUCAAGGAGCACCUUCAAAAUAACAGAGCUAUGGAUGGGACAUACAAAGAUUCAUCCAAAGAAGAUGGGACUUUUGUGUAUCCUAAAGAGGAUUGGUGCAAAUGUGUACAAGGUGAAUCUCCCCCAUUUUUAAUGUCGCCAAAAUUUCGUACUGUCAAGCACUAGAUACUUUUUGUUUGGCACCUUUACACAAAGACGAGUACUUUUUUUCUCCUUUUUUUUUUUUUUUUUUGGUGGUAGGGUGAAUGGAAUUGUAUGACAAAAAUAAGUGCAAUAACAGAAUUGGGACAAGCUAUCAAGGGAGCUGACGAAUUGAGUAAACUGUUUUACUCCAGAAAUAUCUAGGCAAUCCAGUAGGCUUCACAAUAUCCAAAAACCAUAAUUUAUUACAUGAUGGCAACAAAAAAAUUUCCUACAAGUGUAACAAUUUAAAUUCAAUAUCCAAAAAAGAUUAAAAUUUUUCUUUGGGCUGCUAUGAUGGGGGCUUUUCUUUGGUCCUUGCCUUUACUCAACAAUUACCUUCAGCUCCUCUCCAUUAUUUUGGUGGACCAUCCUUUUCAGGGCAAUAAAGAGGUCCUUUGGCUUGCUUUCAGCAGUGCUUUUGUCUAGAACCUAAAGAGUACUGGAAUGGUUCAGGGACGUUUUCUAGAGUAUUUUAUUUUACCCAUGAGUGUUUGGGUCAGGAGCUCACGCUUGCCUCCACUAAUCUCUAUUUAUAACUUCUUAGGUCUUAACCAAAGUCCUCCUUUAUAUUUACCACUAGAACAACCCAUCAUGAAAGAUCUUUCUAGAGUUUUGAUUUCUUCUUUGAACUUAUACUCUCCACUGCUUACAUAAUUUCAAUCCCCUAUUUAGGUGAAUGACAUAUUAUCAUGUAUAAUCAGCUAUAUUAAACAGUUUGUUUUUAGUGAUCCUUUUGUUAUAUUCUUGAGUUAUUCUGUAUUCCAAACUGUAUUGUAAAAGAGUAUUAUAAAUACUCUUAAAUACCAGCAGAUAAAUCAAUAAGAAAACAGUUCAGUUGCUAUCCAUUGGGUAUUAGUUUUCAUCACAUAUUAGCAUUGGUACGAAUCAUACGAUCAUAAUUUUAAAAAAGCAGCCUACAAUAUGACCAUAAACUUUAUCCAGCCGGAAAGUGGCAACGAAACAAUAAACAGAAAAUCAUAGCAAAUACAAUCAAGACUAUGUAACGAAAUUAAAUGAAGAAAUCAAUUAAGAAGGGGGGGAGAGAGAUCGGAGUAAUGGGAAGUGCGAGAAAAAUGAAAAGAUAUAAGAACAUAGAAGAAAGGAAGUAAGUAAGUUCGUUGGUACCUUCCCUUUGGAGGAAGCGAAAUCGAUUGCUGGAGGAGAAGGAAGAAUCCGCCUAUAAAAACCCGCCACCGCCAUUUUUCAAAAACUUGUAGAAAGUUUGAUGAUUAAAUCAAAUGAAUCAACGACGAGGACAAGUCGAUGAAUUAAAAAUUGAAUUGUCUCCUCCUUGUCCUCGCCGCUGACAGACCGAAGACUCCGUAGUUAUUUGUUAAAUUCGAACCAAAUCCAAAGCCCAUUUGUAUUCCACUCUAAAUUAAGAAUAAUUAACAAUUGUUCUUCUCUUUUUUCCAAGUCAAAAAAGGGAAUAAGUAAAACAAAACUUUUGGUUACCAAUUAGCAUUCAAAAAAGUCAUUGAUAAAAGCACAAUAUGGAUCAGAAUCGAUUCAACUAAAUUUGUGAUUAAUUUACUAAUAAAAUCUUAUUAUAACUUUUUUUUAUUAGAUUUAUGUAUAAUUAUAAAUCUCACCUAAGUAAAUACCAUAGAUUCAUCAUUUUUAUAUCAUAUGGCUACAACAAUAAUAUCUAUAAUGACAAUAGGGUAAAGACGGAAAAUCUUAUAUAACUUUUAAACGCAACGAAAUUGAGUAUCUUUUUCUCGACGAGAUUGAGUGUUUUGAUUACAAAUUUAGAGUCACACGCCAAUUAAAAUCACAAUAAACAAAAACAAUCAAAUAAAGACCACUUUUCAAUUUACUAUUGAUUUAUUACAAUUACGAAACCUAGUAAGCUCAACAUUUCACUUAAUUAUCUAAUUAUAAUUGGUUAAGUAACAUUUUUUAAAACACUUUUUCUUAAUGAAUAACUUUGAAUACUUUUUAACCACGUUGGUUUAGUGGUUCCAUCGUAGUAAUUCAAUAUCAACAACUUUACAUGUUUUAGUUAAGAACACAACGAUCAUCUCUAUUGUUAUUUCUAUUUCUAUAGAUGAUAUAUAGAGAUACGAAUGAAUGAGAUAAUGUAAAACAAACGACUAAAACAGUUAGUUUAAGUCAAUAUAAACUAUAUUAUAGACGUGUAUACUGACAUGACAUAUUAAAAAGGGUAAAAAAAAAGGAAUAAACACGUGAAAGGAAAGAACAUUUUCAAAUAUAUCAUAAUAAAAGAAUAUUUACAUAAUAUAGUAAAAUUUCUUAUUGAAUUCAUUGAUAAUGAAAUUUUACCAUAUUUUGUAAAUUUUUUUUUUUGGCACAUUUACCGUAAGGUUUCUAAAUAAAAAUGAUGAACGUAAGAAAAUAACAACAAUUUUUUUUUUUAUAAGAAAUAAAAAAGGGAAAGGACUCCAAAUUUAAGGGGUCUGACAUAGAUCGCUGUCUUUGGAUAAAGAAAUGGAGCCGGUAGCGGUGGUGGAGCCAGGGUCGGAAUGAGGGGACUUGUAAGUUUCUGGAGCCAGGUGGGGUUUGGUUCGGGUUGUUUUCUUGCGACGGGUUUGUCUUGGGACGUCCGGUAGGCUUAAGGUGGGGGAGUGGUUGUUGUUGUUGUUGUCCGACGACGAUGGUUCCUUGGACUUUGAAGAUCGUCUUGUUUUUUGUCUUUCCGAUGACCUUUCUCUGCAUGUGGGAGACUCCGUUGAGGAGGAGGUGGUGGAGGAAGAAGAAGGGUGUUUUGAUGUUUUUGUUACGUCCGCCGUUAAAUUUUUUGCUGAUGAACUUGAACCCUUCGCUACUCUUCUGCUAGGACGAUCUACACACACAAACUCAUAAGGUGUCAAUUUCAAGAAUUUUUUUACGUGCAAUGCAAAUUUUCAAUUUUGAAAAAAAUUAAACCAACGUGCGACGAACAAUAUGUGUUUUUGGUUUUAAAAAAUAAAAUUGUGUCAAAAGACUUAUUAAACAAAAUUUAAAUAAAGUUGAUGAGGAGUCAGACAAGUAAGUAAGCAAACCUUCUGAUACCCAUUUAACAGAAACAUCCUCUUUGUUGUCUCCAGAGGCAUGCAGACUCAACGGAGCAGAUGAAAACGAUGGUGGCGCUUUAAAUUCAUUCAUCUACAAAAUUAGUGACCCGUUUUAUAUGACAAACAAUACAAUAUAAGAUUGAGAACAAAUUUUGAUUAUAUAUGCAUAUGGUUAAAAACUAAAUCAAUAUUGAUUUUCGAAAUCUUACCCAGCUUGGAGAAUUGACAGAAGGACCAUCCCAACCAAUAUGAGCAACAUGUUUAACAUCUGUUGGAUGCCCAAUUUUCAUCUCAGCUUCUUUCUCAUUGUCUGUAUAAACCCAAAAUCAUCCCAAAUAAUUAAAACUUAAAAAAAUCAUACUAAUUAAUACUCACAAAACGUAAAAAUAAAUAAAUAAAUAAAUCCACUUGCCAAAUAUUUGAGAUAUGUAUCUUAGGCCCUUUAGAAGCCCCUUGACUCUGCUGUUUGACAUUUACAACAAUCUGUUUGUAAAAUCUUGCAACUUCUCCAAAUCCCAGAAUUAAUCAGUCAAAUCUUCCACUUUAAUGCUAAACAAUCAAAUAAUAAAAAAAAGAACCCAUUAAGUUAAUCCAACAUAUAAUUAAGAAAACACAAUUGAAGAUUUUCUUUAGUUUCACCUCAAAUAAUUACAAGAAAGAAGGUGUGAAGGUGAUCAGAGGUAGAUUAAGGCAUAAUCCUGACAUGUUCUUCUUGAUGCUGUUCUUUAAUUUUGUUGGCAAUUGAAUAUUUAGGAGAAGGUAAGGAAGAAGGGAAAAAAAAGGGGAAUGGAUUAUUGACAAAUUAAACAAUUUCUGUUCCAGAGAAGUUUAUCAAUAAUUUGAGCUGCAUUAUUCCAAAUUAUUAUUUGUUUGUUUGUUUGUUUUUCUUUUCUUAAAAAAUAAAGAAAAUGUUUAGGAAAUCUUUAACCUUUUAACUUCUAAAAUUAGGGUUUUAGCUUUUACAGCUCUUUUUCACUUUGAAUUACAGCCUGUGUGUGUUUAAUUUAAUUUACAUCCAACUCUCUUUGACUCAUCCUGAUUGAUCAAACUUUCUUAUGUGCCCAAAAUUAAUUUACUAAUUAUUUUAUUUCUUUUUAGUGAUUUGUCAAUCACACUUGGAUCCAAUAUUUUUGGAAAUUUAAAUUUAGGUAAUUAUUGUAAUGUUAUAUAUUUGAUAAUGGUCGAUAUUUAGGUGUAUCACGAGUUGUCUUGACGUGUAGUCCACAUAGAAAAUAACUAAGCUAUAGUUAUCGACUAAUUACCGUAUUAUGUUCGUUAAUGGUGGGAUCGUUUUUGUAGCUAAUUAUAAAGUUAAAGCAUAAAGAAGUUAUAAAAAAAUAUGAGAAAUUGUUAGGUAAUUAGUAAGGUUUAUAUCCUUUUAAGAAUUAUUCCAAUUAAUAAUGAAAAUGAUUGAAGAUAUUCUUUUUAUUAACUAAUAAUAUUAUGGUCCUUUUCAAAUAUAAUAAAACUGAUUAUGACUGAUGGAAUCCAAAUUUUGUUAUAUUUUUUAAAAAUGUUUUCAACAAAUUUAAUAUUUACAAUAAUUUUUAGAUUUUUAAAAAAUAUAACAAAACGACAAAAUAUUUAUUUAACAAUUUAGAAAAUGGAAAAAGUUCACAGCUCAUAAUGAAAAAUACAAAAAAAAUGUCCCUGAUUAAUUGACAUCUAGCAUGGAUAUUGUAUUUGAUAAAUGGUCCUUUAACAUUUCGCUAUUCUUUCAUAUACAAUCGUUUAGAUUUGGAUUUUCAUAAGUUCUUUGGUAUGAGAACAAUUUUUUUCAAGAUUUUUUGGUACAAACAUUUAAAUUUGAUAUAAAUUUGGAUAGUCAAAUCUCAACCAUUCUUUUAUUAUAUUUUAUAUUUUAAAAAUAAAAGAAAAAUUGUAGAAGAAGAGAAAAAGACGAUGGAAAGAAGGACGAACAUAAAUAUUUAAAAUAAAUUGUAGAGAAAGAAGAGAAAAAUGAAGUAGAAAGAAAAAAAAGCGAACGAGAGAAAGAGAGGAAAAACUAUGAAAACUAAUGACAAACCUAAAAUAUUUUUUAAAAAAUGAUCCGGUUUUUUCAUUUUAUGAUGUGAGCCAUAAAUAUUUGGACGAUUUAUUAUAUUUAUUAAAAUUAACCCUAACUUUUAAUAAUAUUAUUUGAUUAGAAAUUCUAAAUUCUUGGAAUAAAAUCCUAAAUUACAAAACCACCAAUCAAUUAGGAAUUAAACAUAUGUUAAAGAGACAAUAAUACAUUAGUUCACCCAAUAUAUAUUAUUAAAAACUAUAAUUUAUGUUUAAACAAUGUUAAACUAUGUCUUUAUCACCAACCCAAAUUAAUAAUCAAUACAAUUAGUCAUACAAAUAAUUAUCACUUAAAAAAUUGAUUACAACCUUUGUUUUCAUUCUAAUAAUCAAAUGUGUAGGAUCGAUGCAACUUCCUUCAUUCUCUUUGUAUUUUCUCAAAUUUUGAGGUCAACUCAACCUAACCCUCCAUUGUACCUUCCAUCAUAUCUUCUUCUAAUCCCUUCUCUAAAAAUCCUAUUAAUUCUUCCUAAAUUUCAGUCCAUGGCUACAUAUUGUUAGAUCACAAUCAUCAAAAUCAGUUUGUUUGUUUUUUUUUUUUUAAUAAUUAGAAGCAGUUGAUUAACUGUUAAUCUCUCAAACAUGGAGAUUAAAGCUUGGUUAAGAAGGAAGAGAUCAAGAUGAUGAUGGGAGGGUUAUUCUAUAUUUGGGGUUUAACCAUUGCUCAGCUGCUGCUUAUUCUCAUCAUUCUCAUUAUUCAUCCAAUUACAGCACAAGAGGGUUAGUAUAUAGUGUGUAUUAAUAUUGUUUUGGUUUUAAUUGAUGUGUUCAUGAUCAUAAUUUUAGGUGGAAAUAAUAUAUAUACAAUGAUUAAUUUUUCUUAUUAUGAGAUUAUUAAAUUAACCCUUUAAUCCUACAUCCUUAAUUAUAGUGAUUUUUGUGUUACUUUUGGAGGCUUGAAGGAGAUUUACAUAAUAUAAUAUGGGUCGAUUUUGUUUGAUGUAGGUGUGUGUUUAUAUAUAACAUGAAGUUUUAUCUUAAAAUUAAUCGGUAAUGAGAGAAGUAAUUAACUUAUCUUCGGUUAGAUCUAAAUUAAUAAAAUGAUUUCAUCCUCUCCUUGUACAUAAAUUAAUAGGAUACUAAGAUAAGUUUAGAAUUUAAUCUAGGUUCAUAAUUAGAAUUUAAUUCCUAUGGCUGUGUGUGUCUAUAUAUAUAUGUAAAAUUCUCGUAAGGAUUAUAACUGAGACGAUUUAUUUAUGAAGUUUUUUAUCAAACCAACUAUUUUUUAGUAUAAUUUUUUAGAAAAAUACUUGGAAGCAUCUUGAGUUGUAUUCAUUGUUCUGUUCCGCGUCCUAUCUAAGUGUCCUAAUUCACAAACUAUAUCACUUGACCAAUAUUUUCUUUUUUUGAAAAGAAUAUUUUUUAAAUAAAAAAGAAUACAAAAAGAUAGGUGUAACCUUGGUUAUAUCCAAGUAUUGCUCUAAUUUUCUUAUUAGGCUAACUAAAUCAACCAAAUUAAUAUGAAUGACAGAGUGACGAAUUGAAAUGUAUUAUGGGGUUUUUGCAAAAUAGCAAAAAAAAAAUUAUGAUAAUAGAGCUUAUGUCACAACAUUUUACAAAUUUGCAUAAGUAAUAAAUUUAAAAGUGAUAAUCAUUUGAUAGUCCUAUGAUUACCAUCUGAUAGUCAUAUGAUUACCGUUUGAUAGUUCCUUGAUAACUUAUAAUUAUUGUCUGAUAGUCGUCUGAUAUCGAUAGUUUUUCCAUAUUCACAAUAUGAAAAAAAAUAGUGUCAUGAACUAUUUUUUAAAAAUGUUUUGGUCAUUUGAUGCAAUUUCUCAUUAUUAUUUCUUUUAAAAAUUAGAGGUUCAAAUAAUGUUGAUACUCGAUUGACUAAAACAAUGCAGGUUUCGUGAGCUUAGCUUGUUGUGCAGAAACAAACUUCAUAGACAAGAACACAAGCAUUGAGUGGACACAAGAUUCCCAAUGGUUGUUCCCAAAUUCCUCAUCAACUUGUGCAAACAUAAACAACGAUAAUAACAUUAACAAUAAUGAGAAAUCUAGAAUAUUUGGUAGUACUCUCUUGGGGUGGAAGAGAUAUUGCUAUCAUUUCGACACCAUAAAAGGGGAAGAAUAUUUGAUAAGGGGUACAUUUUUGGUGAACGAGUCAACCAAUAGCAAUCGACGUUAUUCAUCGUCUUUAUUUGGUGUUUACAUUGGGAAUACGCUUUUGAGUCGAGUAAAAACGUUUCAAGACUCGAUAGUGAUUGAAGCAAGUUUCAAAGCCGAGAGAAAAUACAUAGAUUUUUGCUUGGAGAAGGAUGAUGAGGGAGAUGAAGCUUAUAUAUCAUAUCUUGAAAUUCGACCACUUCAGAAUUUUAAUUAUCUCUCCAGGUUUCCAUCUCGUGUUUUCAAAUUGAUUGCUAGACUCAAUGUAGGAGAAUCUACAUUGGAUAUCAGGUAUUUUUUUUUUUUUUACUAUGUUUAUCAUGUUUAUCGUUCAUUAUAUCUUUGUGAACUCUAAAAUAUUAAAAAAGUCGAAAAAAUCAUCAUGUAAGAAAUUGUGAUUAUACACCAAUAGGGUAAGCUAGCUACGAAAAAAUGGACUAACCCAAAAAUAAACUCAAGUGUUUUUUAUGCUUACGUCCGUCACCACUUCAUUGUUGCGUUCAUCAUAAAAUGGUUGAGAUGACUUCAAUAUUAUGAUGUUCUACUACACAACCAAAUAUUAGUUUCUAUCUAUUCUUUAGAAAUUGAGCUAUCUGUACAAAAACCUCUCCCACUUUAGUUGGUUUCAUUGGGCAAAAUUUUGUGUUUUGUAUAGGAAAAUUGUAAACAUAAGAAUUUAAUGUAAAAGAAUUUGGAACCAUCACAAUUAAUUUUUAGUUAUUUACUUUGAUUUUUUUUGCAAAUUUCAGGUACCCAAAUGACCCGAUCGAUAGAAUUUGGAAAGCUUCGCCAUCUUUCCUAAAUGGAAGUCGUUUCUUGUUAGACUCAAAUAUCAACAUCUCAUCCAAGUUCAACUCCAAUGCUUCGCUUGGCGUUCCAUUGGAAGUCCUCCGAACUGCUGUUACACAUUCCGACCAGCUGGUUUUCCUCCACGAUGAGCUUGACACAGCAACUUAUGAGUAUCGUAUCUUCUUUCACUUUGUUGAGCUCAACCAGACUGUUGAAUCUGGCCAAAGAUUGUUUGACAUUUUCAUUAAUAAUGACAAGAAAGCAACAAAUUUUGACAUUCUAGCUCAUGGGUCCAACUACAAAUGGGAAUUUUAUGAUGUUUUGGCUAAUGGGUCACUUAACUUGACCUUGGUCAAGGCUUCAGUUGGGUCUGAGUUAGGACCCAUUUGUAGUGCUUAUGAGAUCAUGCAGGUACGCCCCUGGAAUCAGGAGUCUGAUGAGAAUGAUGGUAAGAUUGCGUUUGUUGGGCUUUGGAAGCAAAUGUUUUCGAGUUUUGUUUUUAGAAUCUUGUUACUAAUUGGGCAGUUUUUUUCUCACUUCAUCCAUUUCCUCUGCUUCCCAGUUGAUGUGAUUUUGAAGGUGAGAGAUGAGUUGUUGGUUGCUAACCAACAGAACGAAGUAUUGGGUAGUUGGUCAGGGGAUCCUUGCCUUUCGAUUCCAUGGGGCGGUCUGGCUUGUGACUCCAUCAAUGGAUCUUCAGUUAUCACCAAACUGUUAGUGGUUUCAUUCUAUUGUUCAUAAGUUGUCUUGUGCUUACUUCAACUAUGUUGUUAAUUCACAUGAAAUUGUACAAAACAGGUGGAAAUUUUUGUAUGUUGGCAGGUUUUGAACUUAGACUCUCUUACCAUACAUGUUUCAUAAUUAACAUUACAUACGUUUGAGCUAUUAUGUUUGGUUCGUUCGACCAUCUAAGUUUCUUCUUGAUAAUUCUUCCUAGUUAAUGAGAUGCUGGUGGCUAUUUCCAGUGAUUGAACUCAGAAUCUCUUACUAUACAUGUUGAAUAGUUAAAAUUACAACUUUUGAGGUGUUAAGUGUGGUUCACUCAAUCAUAUAAAUUGUUUCAUAAUAAUUCUCCCUAGUUAACGAGUUGCUGGUGACUGUUUCCAGUGAUUGAUUGUUUUAGUGUGGGGCUUUAUUCUGUUGGUUUGUGCAAAUUUCCAGGGACCUCUCUGAGCAUAAGUUCAAAGGAUUGUUUCCUGUCAGUUUACCUAAGCUGGCCCAUUUACAAACUCUGUAUGGUUCCCUCACAUUCUCUUGUCUUUUGGUCAUUAAUAUUAGGGUGAGUAAACGAAGUUUAAUUUCAAAAUGAUUCUUUUUGUGGUAUGCAGGGAUCUCAACAACAAUGACUUCACCGGGAACAUCCCAUCAUUUCCCACUUCUUCAGUGUUGAUAUCAGUGUAAUAAGAUGAUGUUUCUUUGUUUGAUUUCAAACUGUCCUUUAACUCCCUCGAUAUAGAUUUAUGUUUUCCCAUGAAGAAAUUAUCUGGCAUAUAAUCUCUUUGAAUAUAGAGUAUAUCAAAAUCUAUAGGCAUUACAAAAUUUCCCUUAAUUGGUUUCAUUUAUUUUUUGCCCCUUAUUUUCUCCCUAAAUUCUAGUCAGGGUUUACAAGUUAAAAAACCAAAGUAUGCAUCAGGAGCUAAGAGGAAUUUUAAUUUGAUUCAUAUCCAGGGAUCUGAGGCACAAUGAUUUUAGGGGAGAACUCCCUGAAUCUCUUGCUUUGUUGCCACAUUUGAUAACCUUGUAAGUUAUUUCAGGAUAUUAUGCAAUCCUUUGGUAUCUAAAACUUGUAUGAUCUAAACUUUUGCAGACUACAACCAUUGCUUAACUAAAUCAUGAACAUUGUUUUGAAUCUGCCUCCUUUAUCAGUAUUCUGAUUUAUAUGCAGAAACUUUGGCUGCAAUCCUUACUUUGGCAAGGAGCUUCCACCCGACUUCAACAUGUCAAGACUUACUACAGAGUAAGAGUCCUUCCAUUCACACUUUUAUUGGUCAUAAACCAUUUGAAUUGAAAUUUAUGCUAGAUGGUUCAACCGAAGCUAAAAAUUCUACCUCAUUGCAGCUAUGGAACAUGUGAUAAUUUAGAUUCAACAUUUCCGAAAAAAGGAAUUGUCAUAGGGACGGUUGCAACUGGAGCAGUUCUAUUUACCAUUAUUUUUGGUGUCAUUUAUGUAUACUGUUGCAGACAGAAAUUUGUGUUUAGGGGAAGAUAUGACUUGAAAAGAGAACUUGUGAUGAAAGGUGUGGUACUUUCUGAUGACUCUCGUAUUCUAAGAUUCCCACAGAGAAAAAGUUAAUUUUUUUUUUUAAAAAUGUUUAAAGAAAAUUAUUUAACAAUUUUCAAAUUUAUGAUCUGAUUAGGUAGAGUUUCUACCAUGAUACUACCAAGAAAUGACAUUUAUAUUUACUUGGAAUACAUGUUGUUAUAGAAUCACAUUACGUUUUCUUUAUAAAUAUCUGUAUUCAAUGAAUUCAGGAUUGUGAUGAACAACUUACAAAACUCAUCAAACUUUAAAAUUUGAAUAAUUUGGCAUCAUCCCGAUCCUCCCCUCCUCCACAAAAAAAAAAAAAAAAAAAAAAAAGGAAUAAAACAGGCUAUGAUCUUGACCAUGUCGUAUAUUUUCUUUUAUGAUGCAAAGUUCCUUAAGAAAGAUUUCAUGAAUUAAAAACAGAGUUAUACCCAAAGAUCAUUAGAGUCUGUCCAUUAUACUAUAUUUUAAGGAAGUGUUUCACCAUAAUUCAUCUACCAUUUUCUUUUAAAUAUUAAUUAUCAAGGAAAUAUUCAUAUGUGUAUUGUUUUUGUGAAAUAUACUAGUUACUAAGUGCGAAUUACUUGAAAUGCAGAUAUAAUCAUUUCUCUACCCAGCACAGACGAUGCCUUUAUAAAAUCAAUAUGCAUACAAUCAUUUUCUCUCAAGUCUAUUGAAGCUGCUACACAACAAUACAAAACCUUAAUAGGUGAAGGAGGGUUUGGAUCUGUUUAUCGUGGUACUUUGUCUGACGGUGAGGAAGUGGCUGUGAAGGUCCGUUCUGCAACAUCUACUCAGGGAACACGAGAAUUUGAAAAUGAGGUCCGUAUUAGAAUCCUGAUUUCUUUACUAUUAUUUAUUUUUUCUGAUUCUCAUUGAAAAACAUCAUUCUUUUCUUUAUUUAUAUUUACCUGUAUUUUUAACAUUCAUUCAUAUGGUUGGAUAAAGUUAUUGGACACAAUUUAGCUCGUAUGUUUCUAUAAAAAAAUAUUAUUACUUUAUGUCGUAGAUAGCUUUUAGAAAGCUGUCAAUUAUAGAUGUCUUCUUACACCACCUGAAUUUGCCCAUUUCUGAAUUACAGCUAAACCUGCUUUCAACUAUUAGGCACGAGAACCUGGUACCUCUUCUUGGCUAUUGCUGUGAAAAUGACCAACAAAUGCUUGUCUACCCUUUUAUGUCAAAUGGAUCACUGCAAGAUCGUCUUUAUGGUAACUUCUAACUUGCAUGUUAGAUCAUUUCCGCCAUCACCAUAUCCUCUUUCUUAUAUGAUAUUAUAACCAAAAUUACCAGGUGAGCUGGCGAAGAGGAAGACACUGGACUGGGCCACUAGACUUUCAAUUGCACUUGGUGCUGCCAGAGGCAAGUUAUAUUGUAUUUGUUGUCAUUUAAUUUCUGACGCAGGGAAAAUGGGGUUAGUUAAAGCUGGUUAGAGAAGAGAGAAUGUACGGUGUUAUGUUCAGCAAUGUAAUCACGGAAAUAUUUUUCUUUUCUUCUUCUUCUUUUAUUUUGUUCUAUUUAUUUAUUUUUUGUGGUGGUGUUGGUGGUGGUUGGGGGGGAUUGGGCACUGUCAGAAUGGUAAUAUCAAGAGAUUAGUUGUUUGGAACAGAGGACUUGGCUGUCGCACAUUUGAGAUGAUCAGAUGAUCUUCCUGAUGGCUAAAAAAGGAAGUUGGCUAGAAAUAGCUUAAAGUAAUCCUACUAAAUGAAUUGUGUGACAAAUAAUGGUCAUUGUAGGAUUGUUACCUUUUCAUAGUUUUGGGAAUACCUUAGGCAAUUGGAGUUUGAAAUCAAAACUAUUUUCUCUGCCUCAUUUCAUCUUUAAUUGGGGUUUUUGAUGUAGAAUAUUGUCACCCUUCUAAAAACGAGAGAACUCUUGAGUUAGAAACCAUAUUGAGACCUUAUAUUUUAGCAGCUAACAAAAUGGAUGACAGGGAAUUUCAUGGGAUUCUUUCUCUUUAUUUUUCCAGGUUUGACGUAUCUUCACACAUUUGCUGGCAGAUGUGUUAUACAUAGAGAUGUAAAAUCAAGCAAUAUACUUAUGGACCAUAGCAUGUCUGCCAAGGUUGCAGAUUUUGGGUUUUCAAAAUAUGCACCUCAAGAGGGUGACAGUGGUGCUUCCCUGGAAGUCAGAGGAACUGCUGGGUAUUUAGAUCCUGAGUAAGUUUUUUGUUCCACUUUGCUCUUUGUUCAAAUGUUAAUCACUCCAGAAAAAUGAAAAAUGGUUGAACGUUUACUUUUUUUGUCAAUUUGUGAUUCAAAUUUUUUGUUCAGGUAUUAUACGACCCAUCAUUUGUCUGCUAAAAGUGACGUGUUCAGCUUUGGUGUGGUUCUCCUUGAAAUCAUAUGUGGUCGUGAGCCUCUGAACAUUCAUAAACCUCGCAAUGAAUGGAGCUUGGUUGAAUGGGUAUGAUUCAAUUCUAUGAUAUAUUUAUGAACUUUGAGCUUGAAGUGUUUCUUAGUAUUUGAAAAAUCAUUCCAAAUAGAUCGUUCAAGCUUACGAGUGGCUUUGGAAAUGCAGGCCAAAACUAAUAUAAGGGAGUCAAAGAUUGAGGAGAUAGUGGAUCCUUCCAUCAAAGGAGGCUACCAUGCAGAGGCAAUGUGGAGAGUUGUGGAGGUGGCAUUGGCAUGUAUUGAGCCUUACUCGGCCUAUCGACCUUGCAUGGCUGAUAUUGUGCGUGAGCUAGAGGAUUCCUUAAUCAUAGAGAACAAUGCUUCAGAAUACAUGAGGUCCAUAGAUAGUUUUGGAGGUUCCAAUCGUUUUUCGAUGGUUGUGGACAGAAAGGUAGUAGUUCAACCACCCACUCCAACUCCAACAGAGCCAUCGCCAGUCUCUCACGAAUUGACCCCACCCGAGCCCAGGUAGCCUCUGAUGAAACUAGAUAACUAGGUAUUGCUAGGCUAGUCUAGUUAACAGAUAGUGAGGAUUCAGGGACACCAUUUGAGGAAUGCUGAAAAAGUAUGUUAGCACUUUCACGAGAGUAUAGUUGUUAGAAUAUAUGUGCGAGAUGCAUGAAACAUGAUGCAUUCUUUGGUACAUUUGUUUAGUACAUUUCUAGUCAAGCUUAUUUUAUUAAGGUGCACAAAUGGUAUGUAGACGUAUUACUUAUUUACUUUGGCCUUUUCCAAGCAUCCGUUGUGAUAUAUAACAGGAUCAUUCCAUCCUUUGUAACUGUAAAUGCUAAGGGUAACCUGAAUAGAAGGUGAUAGUAUAACAAUAUGAUAAAGAUAUUUACAACAACCUUGCAUGAACAUGAUCUAUUAGAUGGGUUGUUCAACAUGAUCAACUUGGUACCUUUUUUUUGUCAUUUUUUUAACACCGCCUGUAAGACUAGCAGCGAGGCGAGUUUGGCAAUUUUUCAUCCUCUUUUGUGGGUAUGGUUGGGAUCGUCUUUUCUAUCUUUGAUUUGAUCUUUUUGGUCACAUAGUAUCUGAUUUGUGGUUUGGUGAGGGAAAAGCAUCGUGAGAAUAGUAAGAUUUUAAAUAUGUAUUUGUGUCUAUUUUUUGAGGUUAUGGCUGACAAUUAAGCAAUACUAGUGUCCCAAAUGAUUCCAAUGGUGUCGAAAGUGAUUGGAAUACAAGUUGAAUGAAUCUAACUCUUAUGCAUGGCGAUCAAACGUUCAUCGUUUAUUAGGAGUAUUGAGAUGAUGAUCACAUUACUAAAGAAUCAUCAAUCGAUACUACCAAAAAGGCUUGGUUGCAGAACGAUUCAAUAAUGCUACAUAUUAAGAAUUUGCUUAGGCGUAAGAUUGGUUGGUUAGUGACUUUUCUCAAUGGAAAAAAGGAACAAACAAUAAAUAUUGAUUAGUUCUUAAAAACUUAUUUUUAAUUCUAGAAUUUGGCUAUUAAUUCAUAUGUUACUUUGAAAAAGGAUACAGAACAAAGGAACUAAAGGAAGAUGAACUCCUCUUGCAUAGAAUUAUUAUUUGAUUGCAUUUCAAAAAGUUUCAAAGCAGCUUGGUUGCAAUUUCUCUUGCUUUACAUAGUGCUUCAAGUGGUUGAGCUUUAGGCAUACUAACCCCUUUUCCUUCAUUCAUAUCUACUUCCUUACCAUCAAUACUCUUCCAAUCAAAACAUUGAAUCAACGUUCCAAGCAUCAAACCCAUCACUCUAUUUGCCAUUCCAGUUCCUGGACAAGCUCUCCUUCCCAAACCAAAUGCUAUCAUUAACUUAUUAUUUCCAUCACCUUCCCCGUUAUUAUUCUCAAACCUCUCUGGUUUAAAACUUGUUGGAUCUUCCCACAAUACAGGGUCUCUAUGGAUAGCCCACGCGUUUACUAGUAACAUUGUGUCACGUGGUAUGUCGUAUCCUGAUAUUCUACAAUCAGCUGAAGACUUAUGUGGCAGUAGGAGAGGGCCAGCUGGGUAUAACCGAAGAGUUUCUAGGAUUAUAUAUCGUAGGUAGUUUAAUUUUGAAAGAUCAGUUUCUUCAAUCAAUUUAUCUCCACCAAGUUGAGAUUCUAUUUCAGCUCUUGCCUUCUUCAACACUGAUGGAUGGUUUAGUAGAUUUGACAUUGCCCACUCUAUUGUCACUGCAGUCGUGUCUGAGCCACCAAGUAUCAUUGUCUGUGAGAUGAAACGUUAGUUAGAUAAAAAAGCGUGACAUAUUUUUCUACAAAAGGUAUUUUUAAGCAAGUUUGAAUGUUAUUUAGUAUAUAAGGAACCCAACUUGACCCAAUUCUGAAGAAGUGUUCUUCCUUUUUUUUCUUUUUAAAAAUUGAAUAUUAUUUAAUAUUUAAUGGACCCCACCUCAGUCGGGUUGAAUCAAGUUGGGUCUUGUCCGUACACAAUCGACAACAGGUUGGGUUGGACUGGGUCUUCUUUUACACUCGUAAUUUCUAUAAUAAAAUCUAGGCUAUAUUCAUCUUUGUACAUCCUACUACUCAGUUGGCUAAUCAUAUUUGUCUAACAAAAUUAAGUCAUUUUUUUAAAAAAAAACUUUGAAAAACAAAAUUCACAAGUGAAAAAGAAAAAAGAAGAGAGAUGAGAAGAACUAACCAAAAUCAAGCCUUUGAUAAUAUCAUCUGUGUAAUAGUCAGGCUGAGUCUCUUGCAACUUAAGAAAAUGAGCAACCAUACAAUUCUUCAUUUCUUCAUUACUAAUUUCACCUCUUCUAUGUUCAUCAAUCAAUCCUUGCCAAAAUGCAUCAACCCUUGUGAUAAGCUUCUUUGCCCUCUUCAUAAAACCUUGAAUAUCAAUAUACUUCAAGAUUGGCAAGAAGUCAGCUGGAUAUGAAGACAAAGUAAAUUCAAAAAGCUCAUGAACAAUAGCUUGAAAUGUUCUUGCUUCACUACUUUUAGCUGCUUCUUCACCAAAAUAUCUCUUCCCUGCCACCAUUCUCAUUGUUACAUUCAUCGUCAAUUCCUUCACCAAUGGUUUAAACUCCACUUUCCCAAAACCAUCUCUUGAAACUUCAUAGAUCUUCUUCAUUGCCCUUCUCACUUCAUCUCUCCUAAUCUCAUAAUUCGCAUUGAGACGACUUGAACACAGUAUUUCCAGUGUGCUCACACGUCGAAGUUUACGCCAGUGAUCACCAUAUGGAGCCGCACCAAGAGUGGUUUCAUUGUAACUCAAGCAAUGGCUCACGGCGAAGUUGGGACGGUUUGCGAAAAUGAUAUCGUUUUUUAUGAAGCAUUCUUCGGCUGCUUCCAGUGAUGUAACGACGACAACCGAACGAGAACCGAAUCGAAGUGAAAGUACUGGACCAUACUUUUGUGAGAGAGUUUGUAGAGUUCUAUGAACUGGAAGCUUAAGGAGAUGGAGGUGACCAAUGAUUGGAAUAGAGGGUGGACUUGGAGGUAGAUUUUUGUUGGAAUUGAAUUUCAACAAAUACUUUAUGAUUGCCAAAACAACUACAGCAAUACUCAGAAUUGAAAAGGCUGAAUAUUGUAAGAUAGAGUCUUCCAUUAUUUCCCACAUACUGCUCGGCUCCUUUACUAAGCUGCAUGGUUGAUUCACACACACACACAUAUAUAUAUAAGGUAUGGUUGUUAAAUAUAUACUAAUUAGACCAGAUAUAGUAUAAUAAUGAUUUAUUAAUAAUAGAAUUAGUUUAGUUUGUUUCAAUAUACAAUCAAAAGUAUAUUAGAGAACACAAAAUAAUGUAUAUAGGAAACAAAAAAGAAUUCGAAUCAAGAGACGUCAUUUUGAACAGGCAUGACCAACUUUAUUCACACCUCGAUCAAUCUCACAUAACAACCUGUUUGACUUUACAACAUUUAGGUGUAAAAAAACUAGUAAAAGAAAUUAAUUUUUAAGUAGUUGAUCACCGUAGAUUGAAUGUAUGACGACCCUUUAAGUUAAUUAUUGAGACUAUAUCUCAUUUUUUACUAUUAAACACCAUUAAACGUUGGCAAGACUACGAGUAUAAUCAACUCUAUGUUUAUCAAAGUUUGUUUUGGUAAGAUUCACGUGGUAUGUUACUGAUCUAAAUCAGUAAUAAUGUACUGUUUGUGUCUUAGGAAUAAUAAUGUGUUUGUCUCAUUGUGGAGAUGGGGAGAAGUGAUUUGGCGUGUAUCACGUGUAGUGAAUAACGAUCAUAUAAUGAACAUAUACAAGAAGAAAUCAAAAUGGAAACAUAUAUAAACAAUUUACCUGAUCACUCUAUUAAUUAUACGUUUUUAAUAUAACCGAAGAAUAUUUUUUGAAAAACUACGUAAGUGUCAACAUUAAUGAGCUAAUUAUUGUCACCUAUGUGGCUAGCUUCUAAUAAUUAAUAAGUACUGCUUCUGCUACAAACAGUAGACGAGUGUUUUGUCUAAACUAAGUUACUAAUAAUUAUUAAGAAAUCUGGGAAAGCGAGUAGUUUGGGCGUGUAUCACGUGGGAUAUCGAUGGAUCAUACAAACAGAUAUCACAAUCACAAUAUAUUAUAUGCUUUGAUAUAUAUAUAAUAUGAGCAUGAUAUUGCUGCUACUCCAUUCAUCUUAAACCACAUUAACACUAACACGUGAAUCAUGUUAAACCAGGGGGAUAUGAAUUCUUUCAAAACCAUUCCCACCAUGCUUUUAACUGUUCAAAAUCAAUUUUUGUAGAUGGAGAUUGGAUCUAAAGAUGUGAAAUUAAAUAUUUACGAGAGAUAAAAAUGAUUUUAACCAUUUCAAACUUAACAACAAACUGUAUUCCUGUGUGGACGUUGUCAAGGAGUAUCAUUGCUCCUAUGAUGUACUCUACAAUCUCUCUCUUUCACAUUAUAAAAAUGAAAGGAAAGGGGUGAAAGAGAUCAUAAGUUGUAGUGAAAGCAAAAAGGAAGAAUGGAUGAUAAUGGUUUGGUAAUAGCUCUCAUUGCCCUUUCCAUUUGUGCAAUCUUUCACAUACUUUUGAACUAUAUUUCCCAUCGCAGGCAGCAAAAACUUCCUCCUGGUCCUCUUUCUCUGCCAUUUAUAGGCAAUCCCAUUUGGUUUUUCAAACCUCUGUCUCAACUUGAAACCACCCUUCGCCAUUACCAUUCCAAAUAUGGCCCAGUUGUGACCCUUCACUUUGGUAACACCCCUUCCAUUUUCAUAGCCAGCCACUCUGUUUCUCACCAUGCUUUGGUCCAAAACGGCGCCAUCUUCGCCGAUCGUUUCCCCGUCAUGGAAACAGUCAAAAUCAUUACUAGUAACCAGCAUAAUAUCAGCACUGCCUUCUACGGCCCCACAUGGCGUGCCCUCCGCCGUAACCUCACGUCUGAGCUUCUCCAUCCUUCUCGUUUGAAAGCUCAUUCGGGUUCUCGUAAAUGGACGUUGGAUGUUCUCGUUCAUCGCCUCCGCCUAACAUCGGCUGCCGAGCCUGUGAAGGUCAUAAAUCAUAUUCGUUAUGCUAUGUAUUGUUUAGCUACAGUUAUGUGUUUUGGGGAGAGAUUCGAUGAGAAGUUUAUCUAUGAAGUACAAGAAUCUCAACGUGGGAUUUUGUUGAAUAUCAAUAAAUUCAAUGAUCUUAAUUUCUGGCCAGCAAGAUUGGGGAAGAUUUUGUUCAAGAAACGAUGGGAUGAGAUUCGUCAGCUACGUAAACGGCAAGACGAUUUGUUGUUACCUUUGAUUAACAAUGCAAGAAAAAACAGAACAACAAUCAAAGAUAAUGAAGAAACUGGGAAACCAAUCCCUUAUGUUGAUACUCUAUUUGAUUUAGAAAUUGAGGAUAACAACAAUGAGAAGAAGAAGAGGAAAUUAGUAGACGAUGAACUCAUAACAUUAUGUUCCGAGUUUCUCGACGCGAUUACCGAUACAACGGUUGCAUCGUUGCAAUGGAUAAUGGCAAAUAUAGUGAAGUAUCCAGAGAUACAAGAGAAGUUGUACAAGGAGAUAAAAGAAGUGAUGGGAAACAAGAAGAAGGGUGAAGAAAUAGAAGAGGAAGAAUUGGGGAAGAUAACAUAUUUGAAAGCAGUAGUAAUGGAAGGACUACGAAGACAUCCCCCGGGGCAUAUGUUGUUGCCACAUAAGGUGACAGAGGAGAGUGUUUUGGAUCCAGGAGGAUACAGGGUGCCGAAAGGAACAUCGGUGAACUUUAUGGUAGCGGAUAUAGGUUGGGAUGAGAAAGUAUGGACAGAACCAAUGGCGUUCAAGCCGGAGAGAUUCUUGAACGAUAAAGUAGAGGGAGGGGUCGAGUUGGAAGUUGAUAUAACAGGGAGUAAGGAAAUAAAGAUGAUGCCAUUUGGGGCAGGGAGGAGAAUAUGCCCUGGCAUUGGAUUGGGGUUAUUGCAUUUGGAGUAUUUUGUUGGGAAUUUAGUGUGGAAUUUCAAGUGGAAUGCUGUAGGGGAAGUUGAUUUGUGUGAGAAGCAAGAAUCUGCCAUCAUUAUGAAAUAUCCAUUGCUUGCUUCUUUGUCGCCAAGAAGCUGAAGUUUCUCAGUUUAUUUACUAUCAAGUGAAGAAUAAAUAUUACAAGAGUCGUAAGCCCAUGUUUAUGCCACCAUUCAAUCUUUUAUAAGAAAGAGCCUUAAUUUAAAAUGCAAAGCUAAGGGUAAGAAGUAAAUGAGUGAUUUUUGAGGUUUGUUUGAGAAGUUGAAAUUGUGUUGGAAGCAAGAAUCUGGUGUCACUAAGAAAAUUAUAUCCAUCCAUUUGCUUGCUUAUAAUCUGUCUCCGAGAGCUGAUGUUUCUUAAUAAUGUGAGAGCUCGAGGUUUGAGAGAGCGUUAGAGAUGUUCACGAGGUGGGAAUAGGGAUGUCGUCGUUCAUGCCCUCCGUUUGAUUCUUCAUCUUGAAAGUGUAGUGUUUAGUCUUUAAAUACAUAUAACAAAACCACAUGUAGUUAAUGUUCGGCUAAUAAAUCAACAUGCCUCAUUUUAUGCUAAGAAAUAGAGAUAACUCAGAUGAGAUUCUUACUUCUAACACCAAAAAUCACCUCAAAUUCAUAAAUAGAAAAAAGAGAAUUUAUAAUGGGGUAUACAUCAUUUUUUUCUAACAAUUUGAUUUGAGUAUAUAGCAAAUUUUUAGUUAUUCUUUAAAAUAUUCCAAAAUUACCCUCAUUUUAAAAGAAAAUUGGUGCAAUUCUCCACGAUUUUCUCACUUCUCCAUAUUCUUGGCUAUUUUCUCUCUUCUCCUAGCUCUCAACGUCCAACAACUUUACAACGAACUUUCGUUAAUAAUUAAAUGUGUUUUCUUUAAAGAUUUGGAUUCUUUUAGUCUUUUUUUCUUUUGAUCUUUCACAUUCUCCAACACAUUCAUUGACGGUUUAGGUUGUCUCUUCGACCUAACGUUUUCAAUGUUUUUCACUAUUUUCAUAGUUUUCACUGAUAGACCAUAUCCCUAAGCAACAAAACACAAAAUGAAAACAGAUUAGCAUACCAAAGAAACAAGUUCAACAUCCUCCAAAUCUAUUAAUCACUAACAAGAACAUAUCACCGUUAGAUCAUAAGCAACAUCCCACACAAAAUAUGGACAUUAAACAAAAGUAUUUACUAAACAUAUUCCAAGUCUAUCAGUGAUAGAAUGUAUCAUUGAUAGAUUAAGAAACAACACUUAAACUAAAACAUCCACCAACACACCUUACUGCAAACAAACAGAUUAACAUUCCAAAAAAACAAGUUCAACAUUCUUCAAAUCUAUCAAUCACUGAUAGAAACAUAUAACUGAUAGACUUUAAGCAACAUCGCACAAAAAAUGCAGUUUAACUUAGAUCUUCUACUGACAUAACAUAUCACUAAUCUUCUACUAACCAAAUCUAUCAACCAUUCGAUUUCAAACAAAUAGAAAAAGAAGAAACUAUAUUUCAAAUAUAUUGCGACCAAACAUAAAACAAAAAUUAUGAAAGAACGUGAACUGAAGCGAAAAUCCUGAAGCGAAGAAAGUGGAACACGAUGAAGUAGAGAAUGUGAAGCGAAGCCAUCUACGAAGGCACCAAAAUCGCAAAAGAAAAUCGGAAUAUGAAGAAAAGGGAAGAAAGUGGAAGACGGAAGGAAUACGUAAAGUGUAUUUGGGGGGCAUUUUCGUCUUUUACCUUAAAAUUGAACUAAAAUUUGCCAUAUUUGCAAUUCUUUUAAAGAUUUGUUAUAUCCUUAAUUAAUUUGUAGUAAUUUGCUAUAUUUCUAGACAGUCCUAGAAAAAAGUUGACAAACUAUUUACAUUUCAUAGAACAAAACCACUAAAAGACAAUUUAUUACAUUAUGAUCUUUCUAGAAAGUACAAAUAUUUGUCAAAUGUUCUAUUAUGGACACUUUUCCUAAUUAAUAAUAGUGGCAAAUUUAGGAAUAAUAAUAAAUGGUAUAACAAUAGUUUGAAAAGUCUAGAUGAUAGAAGUUUAUCGUUGAUGAAUUCUAGAAAUUUUGUUAUAAUUGCGUUUUUUUAAAAAAUGUUCUUAUAUAUCGGAAUAUUUUGAAUCUAGUUGUUUAUAUUUGCAACUAUCUCGAAUCAUUAUAACAAUAAAAUCUCUAAUUUAAACUAUCUACCCAUGUUAAAGUAAACUUAAUUUAUUGGUAUUAGCAUGUCUUCUGUUUCACCCCGUACUUAAAAAUGAAACCUAAGUGUUGAACAUGUGUGUGUGUAUAUAGAGAGAGAGGUUGGCAUGGUGUGAGUAGUGAAAGGAAAGUGGCUUAAUUUGGCAUGAAUCAGUUGUGGGGGAUACAUACUGAUAUAUACCAAAAGUGAAAAACGAACAUAUAUAUGAAUGUUGAGGCAUGCAAUGGAUCCAUAUAGUUGUUGUUCAUAAAGAAAGUAUUAGAUAGAUCCAUAGACAAGAGUUUAUAAGUGUUGAGAAAUUAUAUAUAUAUAUAUAUAUAUAUAUAUAUAUAUAAGAUUUUUUAACAAAAUCAAUUCAAUCAAACCAUUGACUUUUAAAGUAAUUGUAAUUAGUAUUUUACAUCAAUUAUUAUCGAUUUAUGAAUUCGAUAUCUAUACCAUCUAAUUAAAAAUGAUUAUUAGAAUACAUUAAAAAAAUUGAUAUGAUCUCCACUAUUUUGUUAAUUGAUAGUAUUUUUUUUCUUAAGUUUAGUUAAUAACAAUGUUUUCUUUUUUGGUUAAUAUUAUUUUCUUCCUUAUUUUAACGAGAGGGUUUCAUCUAAUUUCCUCUUAAGAAUAAUGAAAUUCAAUGAAACUCUUCUAUUUUUCUUCACAAUUUUUACCAUAAUUAUUUAUUUCAGUUUGUUCUUGUUCACAAAAUCCCUAUAAAAUUAAACUAUGAUAUUAGUCUAUUGGAUCAUGAUCGUUUUCCAACAAAAAAACAUCUUAUUGAAAUUCAAUAGAGUGGUUUCCAUUCUUCCACUUAACUUGUAAGAUGAACAAAUUGUUUUCGACGUCAAAAUGAUAGCUAACAUUACUAUUGUUGAAAACAACAAGCACCCUAAAUCAUUAAUCAUCUAAUGCAAGCUUUUUGAUGAUGGGACGAGCUCUACACAAGGCCUCCAAUGGCUCAACUUUAGGCAUAGAAAUUCCUUGACCUUCAGUCAUAUCAAUUUCCUUUUCACUAACUCUCUUCCACUCAAAGCUUUGUAUCAAUGAACCCAAAGUCAAUCCCACCACACGAUUAGCCAUCCCCAUCCCAGGGCAAGCCCUCCUCCCCAAUCCAAAUGGCAAGAAGCUAUAACCAUUAUUAUUGUUAUUGCUUCCUUCUCGACCCUGAUGAUCACUCUCGAACCUCUCGGGCUUAAAGCUCGUCGAGUCCUCCCAAACCUUAGGAUCCCUUUGGAUAGCCCAUGCAUUCACCAUUAACAUAGUGUCAGCAGGAAUAUGGUAUCCUCCUAAAGAACAACUGCUCGAUGAUAAAUGAGGAGCUAAGAGUGGAGCUGGUGGAUAAAGGCGUAGUGUCUCUGAAAUUACAUUCUGGAGAUAUGGUAGAUUGGAGAUAUCUUCUUCAUCUAGUAUACGAUCUUGUCCGAUUUGUUUGUCGAGUUCAUCCUUUACCUUUUUUAGUGCUUCUGGAUGGUUGAGGAGAUUCGACAUUGCCCACUCUAUUGUCACUGAUGAUGUUUCUGUUGCUGCUGAUAGAAUUGUCUGCAAAUUCAAGGAAAAAAGAAUGUGUUCAUUGUUUUUUCUCUCUCUAAAAUUUCAAAACCAUCAAUGUGUUGAUCAAAGUAAUUACGAAUAAAACAAUAAUUUUCCAUUAUGAAAAGAAAAAAGAACUCAGAACUUACAACAAUGAGGCCUUUGAUAAUUUCAUCAGUAUAAUAAUCAGGUUGAGUCUUCUGCAAGCAAAGGAGAUGACUGAUCAUUGUAUUUCCCUUUUCCCCUUCUUCUUCAUUUCUCCGAUGUUCAUCCACCAAAUUCUGCAAAAACCAAUCCGUAUCUUUCCCAAGACUUUCAACUCUUUUUGUAUAUUGCCAAUCAACCCAUUUCAAAAAUGGCAAAAAAUCCCCUGGGUAUGAACCCAAUUGAAACGCCCUCUCCAUAAUUUCUCUAAACUUCUUAGCUUCUUCCAACUCACUCACUUCUUCCCCAUAAUACCUUUUCCCUGCCAACAUUCUCAUUAUGAUAUUAAAUGUCAAUUCCGAAAACAACGAUUUCAACUUCACUUUCCCAAAUUCCGUACCCAAAACUCUAUUCAAUUUCUUUAUCAGAAUACCGAUCUCUUCUUUUCGGAUUCUCGCUGACAUGUUCAACCGUAUGGUUGACAAUAUUUCGGUUGCACUCAACCGUCUUAGAUUGCGCCAGUGGUCGCCGUAUGGAGCAGCCCCGAGUGUGGAGUUUCCAUAGGUGAGAUACUUGCCGGAAACAAACUCGGGGCGGUUGGCGAAAACAAUGUCGUUUGUCGUGAAGCAUUCUUCAAUGGCGGAUAUGGAGGAGACGACGACGACAAGGCGGGAGCCGAGUCGGAGGGUGAAGAUUGGACCGUAUUUUUGGGAGAGAUUGUGGAGUGUUCUGUGGAUUGGGUGUUUGAGGAGAUGAAGAUGGCCAAGAAUUGGGAGAGCUAGAGGGGAGGGAGGGAGGUUUUUCUUGGUUUUUUGGAUGAAGAAAAUGGAAACCAAAGCCAAGAAAGUAAUCAGAAAUGGAAGAUAGGUGAUGGCUUCCAUUUCCAUGGAGUAGUCUCAAUUCAAAGUUGUGAGAUUGCAUGCUGUGAGCAUUGCUAAAGGAAGGGAUAUAUAACAAAAAGAUAAUACUACUACUACUCUAUCUAUGCAUAUUCCUUCAUUGCAUUGCUCAUCUCGUCUUCCCCAUUAUAAAAAUAUAACGUACGUGAUGAUUCAGUCUCUGCCCAUCCCUCUUUGAAAGAAUAAAAACAUGUUAGGAAAGUCGUUCAAAUGACAAAAUCAAAAUAUUCUAUUAUAGAAGUAUGAAAAAGAGAUCGAGGGGAGAUUUUGGCAUUUAAUGGAAGAGUGUGAAAAUAUGGUUUUGGGAUGUAUGAUCACGUGUUCAAGAAAUUUGUUUUUUACUAUAUGAUUGAUGAUAGUGAGUCCUAAUUUGUUAGAUUUUAAUCGGUACCGGUGUGCUUGGGGUAAAGAGUCGUUGGAUUAUGAAGGGUUAGUGUUAUGAUAAACUUAAUAUCAUAUUUUUUAUGAUAAGAUGUGAAAUUUAUUUUUUUAUACAUUUUUUUUAAUUCAUAUUCUAAAUCUAACACAAAUUUCGUAUUUUAAUUUACAAAAUUAUCAUAUUUUUGUAAAAUAGUUUUAAGUAAUUUCUUUAAAUGUGACGUCUAUUUUCAACAUUUUUUACGUAAUCGUUGCAUGUGAAUAAUUUAUUGAUUUUUUAAAGAAAUUUGUAUUCUAAAUCCAAUACACAGAUUUAGUAUAAUUAAUUUCUUGAAAUGUCCUAUUUUCGUAAAACAAUUUUCAAACAUUUUUUUAAAUACGACGUCAAUUUUGAACUUUCUAACGUAAUUGUUACGUGCAAAUAAAUUGUUAUUAUUUUAAAAAUCAUAUCCUAACUUCAAUAUACAAAUUUUGUAUAUUUAAUUUACCAAACCGUCAUAAUUUUCGUAAAACAAUUUGCCUUAAUUUCUUUAAAUACGACAUGAAAUUUUCAACUUUUUUUUUAAGUAGUAGUUACGGUUGAAUAAAUUACUAUUUUUCAUUUUAAAGAUAAAACAUUGUCAGUUUUUCUUCUUACUUAAACAUUAUAUAUUUUUUCCUUUUUAAAUUAUAGGAUUGUUGUUCCAUGGAGCAACAAAAAUGAUAAAAAUUAUAAUGAAACAAUGAAAGAUAUAAAAAUAAGGAAGAAGAAAGGGAGAAAAAAUACAUUUUGGAAAGGGGCACUUGCAAAAAUGACAAAAUAAGUUAUAAUAAAUAAGUCCAUAGCACACAGUUUAUUAUUUGUGAAAAUAGUAAAAAUGAAGCCCAACUCACACAUAAGGUAAAAUAUCACAAAUGUCUUCGUUACUAAUAUACGUUUGAUACAUCUUAUACACGUCUGAUACACCUAAUACAUCUGAUACUUCUUCAUACACCCGAUACAUUUGAUUGAUACACUUGAUACACAUGAUACUCUUUGAUACACUCGAUACAUUUUGAUACAAACAUUACUCAUAUAUGUUUGAUACACCUGAUACACUGUCGAUACAUUUAGUAUUCUUCACUUAUACAAUUGAUUGAUUAAAUGCAUUUGAUAUGCUUGAAGUCCUACUUGUACACUUGAUAUACACUUGUAAACUUGAUUCAUAUAUUUGAUAAUGAUUCACUUUACUAAUAUACUUUAACAAUAUAUUGUUAAUAUACUUGAUAAUAAUACAUUGGGUUACAUCAUUUAUAUAUUUAAUAAUACUCUAACGAACUGCAUAAAAUUUGAAAAACUAAAAAUCACGUAGUAUGUAUAUUAUGGAAAUAAUAAAAUUACAGGAGACUUGAAAACAUAGAAUUGUGAAGAAUUGAGAAAAGAGCGAGGAAAGAUAGGUUAUAAUAACACUUCCUCCAAAGAAGGCUUGAGUUACCCUAACCCCACGGUCAUAACUAUGUUCCGUAUUAUUUUAAUAUUUUUUCUUUAAAUAAUGAAAACAUGUUUACUUAUUUUAUUUCUUUCUACUGAAUCUGAGAUUUUUUUAAAAUAUUCAAAUUGAAUUAGAACUUUUUUUUAAAGGUAAAAUAAGAUUUAAAUUAAAACUAAAAUAAGUUAUCCAAUUAGUUUGGUUUGUGUGUCAUAUAACGUGAUUCACGUUUUCUUCUUCUUAUCUUUCACUAUUAUAUUAUAUUAUACAUUUACUUAUAUUUUAACACUCUAAAACAUAAAUAAAUUUGGGUUUUUUUUUUUAUAGAAAAGGGAGGAAAGGAAAAUUUGGGGGAAAACUUAAAUUUCUUUUAGAAAUGGGGAAAGGGAAAUUUGGAAAAAUAAAAAGAGGAUUUUUUUUUCUUUUUUUAAGAAAAUGAUGAAAAUAUAUAUUAGUUGACAUUUAAACAAUGUCAAGUGAUUACCACUAAUCUUGACACUUUUAACUUGUCAAGUGUUUGAAAGAAAAGAAUAAAAAUAUUAUAUUUCUUUCAUUAAUUGUUAUUCUUGACGUUUUUUACAUUAUUUGACAGUUUUUAUUAGAAGCGUCCAGUAUUUCAAAACUACAGGUGCCAUUGUUUGACUAAAGGUCAAUCCAAUAGAAAACACUCACUUUAAGAACAGAUUCCAACAACAGGGUCCCACACAAACCCUGAAUUACAAACACAACGCCUCAACCCCGUCCCGUUAGGAUCAACACCACAAACCGCGUUUCCGUCACAAUCAGUCUCCGUAUUACAAACCGGUUCCCUCGGCAAAAGCCACUGCAACUCUAAACCCGGUUCUGGCCAUUGACCCACUCCCAAGCUCGGGUCCAAAUUCACAAAGCUCGUGUACGCACUACACCAUGAUUCCCUCACCCUAAUCAUGUACGAAUUCGAAGAUCCACCCGUCCGAAAUGUGCAGCACAGCUGCGCCAUCUCGCACUUCGUCGCUUCUCCUCUCGAUCCCUUGAUGUACGAAUGGCACAGACUCGUCGACGAGCAGUUCAACGGCGAGCCCAACAGCAAAUUCGUACAGUUGAAGUAGAGGAUCGUAUUCCCACUCGUCACGUUGAACGGUAAAGUAUUGUUCAAUUUAAUUCCUUCGUGGGCGAUAUCCACUGUCACGCACAUGUUGGGGAUGAAAUUUGAGGGGCGGAUCACCAGGCGCUGGGUCAACGGGUUGAUUGAGAUGAUCGGGUACGUGUUGUUUACCGUGUCAAAUUUCAGUGAGCCUACGUCGCAUCGGAUCUUGUACAAUUGGUCACCACAAGUGGGGCUUGUACUUAGAGGAUAGGGGACGGCAGCCCCACCGCAGUCCGGACAUCGGGUAAUGGAGGUAGCCAUUUCUGCGGUGGCAAGCAGCGCUGCCACGAAGAGGAGUAGCCGUUUUGAAAUGGAUGCCAUUGAUUUUUAUCGGAAGCUGAAUUCUUGGUGGUGGGUUUUACAAUUUGAAUCGUUUGGGUUGAAAUAAAUGGAAGAAACAUUAUUUAUUUAUUUUCUUUGAAGUUUGAAGAAUAACGGUCAAAGUAAAAGUGGGUGACAUGCGCGUCAAUGAAAGGUUAUCGAGUUGUUUCUUUAGGCAGAAAGUUGUGUUCAAUAUCAUCUAACAAUCUAAACGGUUAUAAAUUCAAUAUUAUUUGAGAUUUUUGUUUCAUUUUUAAGAGAAAGAAAGAGGGAAUGAAGUUCUAAUUUUGAACUAUUUUUAAGUGAAAAAAAAUAUAUUGGUAAGAAACUAUUGCUAUGAAGUUCUAAAAUUUGGGUUUUUAGUUUGUGAAGUUUUAGAAACUAUUGUAUUUAGUUUAGGUAUGGUUGGUUGUUAUUAGUGUGUUAAACCUAACAUACGAAUGGUUGAAUAAUAUACUGUCAUAUUACACGUUUUGACUUGCACUUCUAAAAGUUCAGAAAACCUUUUCUUUUUUGUUUUCACAAAAAUAUCAAUUUCAAAGGGCGGACUAAUUUAGGGUAACAAUGAUGUAAAUAUAGUAUCUUCUCUAUCCAAUUCAUUGUUACUGUUUUGUAGUUGAAGUCGUCAACAACGACAGUAAGAAGAUGGAAGGUUGAAACAAAUUGUAAGGUUUUUAGAUUUAUAAACUUGGAGAAUAGAAAAAUACUUGACCAUACAUAUUCAUAAGAAAACUUGGGACUAAAAACAUAAUUUUUCUUAAUAUCGUAUAUAGCACACAUAAAGUUUGAUAUAUUUUCAAUCUUGGAGAUCUUUAGUUGAUUCAAUUAAUUCAUUUGGAUAAUAAUGAUCAACGUACCAAUAAUCUCACGUCAACGAUCAAUUUGGGUUUGAUUAAUUAAAAAAUUAGUGUCUAGUGACCUAAAUUGAUUAUUUAGAUAAAUGAGUUGUUUAAUUAUGUUUUUAUUUCUGGAUCAAAUCAUCAAAAUUAUUGGGAUAUGAUAUAUAUUGGGAACUGUGUAUUGCACUUGUUGAAUUGUGAAUUAUGAUACUCAUAACGAUGCAAUAUUCAAAACAACUACGUCACCUACAAGAAAUUGAUUUUGUGCAUAUCUUUUACAUAAACUGUUGUUAUUAUUAUGAAAUUGGAAGGUGUAAAUGAGAGUAAUGAAACAUUAAGAGAAGUCUUUGUUGGGAAAAUUAAGCACUUAGUCAAGCCCUAAAUUUGGCACCCAUUGUAUAUAUAUUUCACCCAUCUCAUGGGCUUGAACUCACCUCUCCUCUCAUGUCUAUAUGUAUAUACAAUAAUAUCAUUUACAUUUUUACGUGAUAUAUGUUUACAUUUUAUUUCAAAAUAUUUACAUAUAUCUAAGAUUUCAAUAGAGUUAGUCAAUUUUCAAUUACUGAUAUUAAAAUAGAAAAUUUGUUAUGAAUAGGAGAAAAGAAAAAACAACAACCUACAAACUAUAGUAAAAAAACUUAAAUUAAUUUUGGAGAGAAUUAGAUAGAUUGUGAUAGAUUUUGUAAAUAAUUUUGAUACUUUAUUGUUUUCUAAAUGUUCCUAAUCUUUUAAAAUUAGUGUGUAACAACAAUAAUUUAACAUAUAACCGAUUAAAUAUAUAUCAACAAAAAUUACGAAUAACAAAAGCGAGUUAGAUUUCGAAAAGGAUGUCAAUUUAUAAGUACAUAAUUAAACAUAAAAAAAAUGCUUAUAUAAUUAAUAGUAACCUUGGCAUAUAUAUAAUUAAAGUGGGGAAUUUUCUAUGGUUUACCUGCUCGAUUUUCAAUCUUGUCAUUUUCUUAUUUUAUUUUUCCAAUUAAUUUUCUGAAACCACUAGAGUGAGGGUGGCUUGUCUUUGAAUCAACCUCAUAUUAUUUUUUUCGACACAACUCGUAAUAAUGUUCAACAUCCCUCUUUGCACAUUCUGCUCAUGUACCUACUCUUGGAUUCGAGGUCACCAAACACAGUCGAAGGAAAUUAUUCUUGCACCUAAGUUCUUCUAUAGUCUUCUCAUACUCUUCAUUUUUCUUUCUUCGUCUUCAAUAGUUUUGCCGACGCAUAUAUGACGAUGUUGACGUGUUGACCUUGUUGACAAAUCAUGCGUCGACCAAAAUUCUAUGUCGACGUCGUCUCAUUACGUUCUUGCGUCGUCGUUGCCUCUUACGAUACGUCAUUUACGACGCCCGUGCUAACGUGCUUCUCUAUGAGAAAAAUAAUAGUGUUAGUUUAUGGUUUGAAAAACUAACUACUACGUAUAGAAAUAAAAUAAUUGUGAGACCCGUACUUAAGUUCAGGAGUAAUUUUGACUAAGUGUUUAAAGAAACGGCGCUUUGAGAGGUCCAUGUGAUAAGAAGUUGAUAAUUAAGGUAGUUUGCGAGCUAGGUUAAGCGGCAAGACUUUUGAAGAUUGUGUUACCGUGUGAUUUAGUUUCUUUGCAUGAUGAGAAAGUCUAGGCGAGAAGAAGUAAGGAAACUUCCUAGAAAAAAUUUAAGUGUACCUAAUGGGCCACAUGAAAAUCAAGUCAUUUUAGGAGGUUUAAGCUAAGCAUGAUUAAGUUAAAUUAACCUUAAGCUUCCACGUGCACCACUAUGAGUAGGUGCUGGAGUGAUACAAGAGAUUAAAGAUGACUAAGCUAUUUUAGGACUUGUAUAAAUAGGGGAUCAAGCCAUAUUAUUUAGUACUGUUACUCUGAAAAUGUAAAGAAAAAUAUUAAAAAGUUGAAAUACUGCCAAAAUAGCUAUGCGAGUAGAAGAAGAGGAGAAACAUAAGGAUUUUGGAUUUCUAAGUUGUGUGAGUGUUUUCUUCAAAAGUAUUCAAUAUGUUUGAAAGGUUUUCAUUAAAGCCUUUAUUGAUUGAAUAAUGAUUUCAAUUUAAAUGUUCCUAAAGAGAUUUAUUUGAAAAGCUUAUGCUAUAUUUUAAAGCAUGUUUUAGAUGAUGCAAAUGAUUGUGAAAUGGUGUUUAAACCAUUAGACUUCUUCCUAUUAUUGAGCUAACUGUUAUGUGCACUUAAAGGGUAAAUGAAGUCAUGUAAAAAAAUGUGCAUGAUGAAAUUAGGAGAGACAAUAUAUAAAAGAUGUGUAUUGCGUCUCGGCUUGAGCAACAAGGAAUGAAUCAGAAUAUUCUCGGAUGCUAACAAUGAAAAUGUCGUCUUAGUAGUCUAAACGCAGGAUGAUGAGUCUUUGCGUAGAGAAUGAUUUAGGUCAUUGAUGAAAGGAAUGACUUGGCUGAUGAUUAUGUUAAAAGUAUAUUUGAGUGAUUUGAAAUAUGUUAAAGUGAUUUGAUAUGAAAAUUGAUAUUUAGGAGAGAUAUUUAGCAAAAAGGAUUUCUUCAAAACCUCACUAAUUGCAUGUAUUAAAAAGUUAACUAAAAUUAAAAAUAAAAAGCGUAGAAGGUAGCCGAUAACAAUUAAAUAUUUAUUUCAUAAAGCUAACUAACAUUGAAAAAAAGAAGUUAAUCACGUGAUAAUCAAAUUGUUUAAAAAAUGAGGGCAUAUUCAACUUUUUAUUUCAAGUUCAUUAGCAAAUUUGGAGUGGACCGAUCAAAUUUGCUACAUUUUUCAAUUUAAAAAAUAAGUGACAUUGACCCAAUUUAGUUAUAUAAAAAAGUUAUAUACACUGUCCCAUUAAAUAUCAAUACGACUUGAAGUCAAUAACUAAAAUAUGUAUUUAUUUCGAUACUCAAAUAAUAAUCGUAAAAGUUUUUUAAUUUAUAUAAGAGAUUUUAAUCUCAACUUCCGAGGUAGGUGUGCAUUAUAAAUUUAAGGAGUUUUCUAAUAAUAAUAAAAAGACAAAAUAUUUAAAAGCAAAAAUCUAUUAGAAUAAAAUCAUAAUAAUAAAAAUUGUUAAAAUGCCGUUUUUAUUCUUGAGCUUCUUAAAUCUUAAUUCUUAUACUUUAUAAUACCCAAUUCUGUUUCAUCUACUUUAGGGGCCGUUCGAGGGAAGGAAAUGAAUAAGAGGGAAAAAGAAUAAGAAAUUGGGGGAUUAAGUGAAUGAAAUGAUUAUUAUAAUACUUAUUUGGGGGAAUGAUUAAGUGAAAGAAAUAUGAAUGAUUAUUUAUAAUCCUUGUUUGAGAGAAGAAUUAAGUGAAAUGAUUACGAGAUAUUAUUAUAAUCUUUGUUUGGGAGAAGGAUUAUGACAAAAAAAUUUGUAUUUUUUUUUUCAUUUGUGUAAUUUUUUCAUUUGUACGUUAACUCCAAUAUGAGAAAAAAUACAUAAUUAUUUUUUUCUUGAAAAUGAAAUUGUUUUUUUUGUCACGAACCCAAUACAAAAUGAAAAAUGUGCUAAUAUUUUUUGUAUUUGUAUAAAUUGUUCGUACCAUAAAAUCUCUACAACCAAAAAUUGUAUUCAAAUUCAUUUUUUUAGUUAGGUUGUAUCGUAAUCCAAACGUUCACAAAAAAAUUGUAUUGAUUUUGUAUAAAUAUAUAUUUUUACUUGUAACAUGCACCUAAUAUACUUUCAAAACUAAAGUUUUUUUUUCUCAUUUGUAUAGUAGUUUUUUAUUAAAUCAAGUACACAAAAUAAAGUUGUAUUAAUUUUUUGUUGGUUGUGUAAAAUAUGUUUAUGAAAUUUAUAUUAUAAAUUCAAUUCACAUAGAAAUUGUGUUAUUUAAUUUGUCAUUUGUAUUCAAUCUGUAGUUCAACUUGAUCCGUAAAUCUAAUACAUUAAAAAAAUAUUCUCUUUUUUCAAUGUGUAAGAAAUAUUUAUGAAAUGUUUUGUGUAAACCAAAUACAAACAAAAAUGUAUUAAUUUUUCUUUUUCGCAUUUGUCUAAACCUAUUUAUUUUGUUAGUACGGUUUCUAAAACGACGAAAAAUUAUAUUAAAAUAAUGUUUAUACUUCAUUUCUACCGUAACCCCGGCACACAACAAAUAUGUAUUAAUUUUUAAAUUGAUUUUGUAUAAAAAAAAAACAAUUGAACCGUACACACAAUACACAAUGCAGAGAAAUUGUAUUAUUUUUUUUCAUUUAUAUAAAAUAUGUUUCUUCAAAUUGUACCAUAAAUAGAAUACAAAAAGAAAU
RNAcentral lists this long non-coding RNA (69925 nucleotides) under Cucumis sativus (cucumber). RNAcentral describes it as "long non-coding RNA (CSAT_LNC002225)". Lineage: Eukaryota; Viridiplantae; Streptophyta; Magnoliopsida; Cucurbitales; Cucurbitaceae. The record is from RNAcentral.